AACCACAUGCUAUACGAGUCUGAGAACUUGUCUGGGAGAAAAUUCAGCAAAAGCUCGUCAACCUAAUUCGCAUCUCAACUUUGAACGUUUACCUGAUAAUUAAUUAGUGCCCAACCCAAGUUUUGGUAUUACAGAAGCUUUUGAUGAGACGGAUUUCUGUGUUGUUCAACACGAGGCGUGCUCUUGAAACUGGUUUUAUGCAUAAAUUGCGAGAAGGGAUUUUUGGCUCUUAUUGAAUUUGUUAUGUGUGGCAUCUUUGGGUUCAUCGGUGCAGAAACUGUGCUUCUUGCAAAAUGGAUUUUUACAUUCAUUAAUAAAAAAAAUUGAACAAUGGGUUUGCUUCUCGUUUUGUCAGUAGAAAAUGCUUAAGAAAUGGGUACAAUUUCAAAUGUAUUAAAAUGAAUUUUUUUUUUAAUCAUAUAUGCUAUCUAAUCAAUGGGAACAAUAAUGCCAAGAGUCUGAGCUGACUUAUUGAAGUAUCGUGGAUAAUCCACAUACUAAAAAAUUUCAAGAAACUGCAAUUUUUAAUAGUGAGAACAUAAAAUUGAAUGACAGGUUUUUAAUAAUUAAGGGCCUUGUUUUGGCAUUUAUUUCAUUAGCAGUAGGAGUAGGAGUAGGAUGAACCAAACCGACCGACAACGAUGAGUCAAGAAGACUCAAGAGACUUGAAAUGCUGCCAAUUUAAUAAAAUGUGAUAUAAUUAUCUGUAGCGAUUUUUUACCGUGGUAUUUUUGGGUUAAACCCCUUGAGUUUGCAGCAACUUCAAAUUCAUGUUUUGGGUCGGCGACAUUGAACUUGUCUAUUUGUAUUUACCGCGACUAAAUUGGAUUAAACGAACCACAACUUAUCUAACCGGAUUCACAAACUCCACACUAUUCCAUUUAUCCCUGUGUUUAAUCAUAAGAUAUACAGAGAAAUAACUCCACACUUACGCCUCUUGCUUCGACGUUUGUCCACAUUUCAGUAAGCCUUUUUUGCACUCUUGAGAGUUUUAUUGUUUAUACUACUAGUAUUUCACCCGUGCGAUGCACGGGGCAUUGAGUUGUAACAAAUAUUUGAUAAUAAAAAAGUUCUUGAAAUACUAAGAUGAAUGGUUGAUAUGCAAUAACAAAGUAGUAGAAAAAUAUUUAAUAAAAAACUAUUUGGUAUGAUGUAAGUGAUCAAUUAAGCCAAAAUAAGUGGAAAAGUUAAAAAUCGAAGGUUUAUUUUCCGUAUACAAAGAGUGAAUACAUCGUUGGUCCCAAACUUGUACAACCAUAACGACCAAUAAAUUCAAAUUCUUAAUUUGAUGCAAACAAUUAUUGUUAUUGCGUUUGAUAACAACCGCCCUAACGCAUGUAUCCAAUACAGUGCGAGUAACCUACAUAUUUUAUAUAGUGGUCAUACGAAAUAUCUAAUAAUUACCAAAACAACAACAAUAUAAAUGUUUAAUGAAGUAAAAUCAUUUUACACUAAAUUUACCUUGAUAAAACAUCUUGAGUGGAAUCGAUAGUAAGUUCAUAGUACAAUACGAAUUACGAAUAACCGUACAUAUAAGUAAUAAAAAAUUAAAGGUUGUUAUUUAAUAAUGUAUACAAUUUUACAUAGUUACCUUAAUAUAUGCAGAAAAGUUUCCAGGUGUACCAUUGUUUGUAACGUUGGUCGUAUCGCCAGAUUCCUAUUUGAUAAAAAUCUUACAUAAGGGUUAUUUAAUUGAACAGGUUGCACACCAGAUUGGGAUAAACAAACUCGAUAAGAUCCAAAAAAUGAAUUGAAAGAAUCACGAAUCAGCAUGUCAUCGGGAAUUUCAAUUCAAGUACUGUUUUAUUAAUAUCAAUCCUAAUCAUAAUCCUCAAUUUAUUUUAUGCUACACCCAAUAAAAUACACUGGGUAGAUCUUUACCAUUCAUAGGCACAUAAACACACAAACACACACAUUGAUGUGUGGAUCAAAGGUAAAAAAAUCACCCGGUAUAGUCUUCAUCGGCUGUAGCAGAGAAAUAACUCAUAAUCCUCAUACUAAUGUUAAUACUAAUAAUAUUAUUACAUAUAUCAUAUUAUAAUGCUAACUUUAAUAUACUAAUGUCAAUACUAAUACUAAUAUUAAUAUACCAAUAACAAUAACAAUACCAAUACUAAUCCCAAAACAAAAACCAACACCAACACCAACACCAUUACCAUUACCAUUACCAUUACCAAUAACAUUAUCAUUACCGUUACCAUUGCCCUUACCAUUGCCGUUAAAAUUGCCAUUACUAUUACCAUUAUCAAUACUAUUACCAUUGUCAUUACAUGUACCAUUAUCAAUACCAAUAAAAAUACUAAUACCAAUAUCAAUACCAAUACUAAUACCAAUACCAAUGUCAAUACCAACACAAAUACCAAUACUAAUACCAAUAUCAAUAUCAAUACUAAUACCGAUGCCAAUACCAGUAUCAAUACUAAUACCAAUACCAAUAGAAAUAUCAAUAACAAUAAAAAUACCAUUAUCAAUACCAUUACCAAUACCAUUACAAUUAACAUAACCCUUACCAUUACUAAUAAUCGUAAUCCUAAUCCUAAUUGAAAUUAUAAUCAUAAUCCUAAUCGUAAUGCUAAUGUUAAUUAUAAUAAUAAUCAUAAUUCUAAUCAUAAUAAUAAUGCUAAUGCUAAUCUUAAUCCUAACACUAACUCUAAUCAUAAUUCUAAUAAUAAUAAUAAUACUGAUCCUAAUUCUUAUCCUAAUAAAAAUCGAAAUAUGCUAAUGAUAACGCUAUUCUUAAUACCAAUCCUAAUAUGUUAAUGCUACUGCUAAUCCUAAUCCUAAUUUUAAUCAUAAUGCUAAUACUAAUACUAAUACUAAUUAUAAUCAUAAAGCUUACCCUAAUACUAAUAUACAUACUAAUAUUAAUCAUAAUAUGUCAAUGCUAAUGCUAAUAUUAAUGCUAGCAGAAUACUAAUAUUAAUACUAAUACUAAUACUAAUAAUAAUAAUAAUACUAAUACUAAUACUAAUACUAAUACUAAUACUAAUACUAAUACUAAUACUAAUACUAAUACUAAUACUAAUACUAAUACUAAUACUAAUACUAAUACUAAUACUAAUACUAAUACUAAUACUAAUACUAAUACUAAUACUAAUACUAAUACUAAUUGUAACACCCCUUAAUUUUUUAUUAUGAGGUAUAAUAUUAGUUUAUACAUGUAUAUUAUUGAAGUUUAAAUACUAGAAAAUAAUUUAGUAUAAAUUAUGUGACUUAGAUGUUAUUGAUAUAUAAAGUUGGGGACUAAGAAUAAAUAAGGUAAUUUACAAGGGCUGAUAUAGUAUUAAGGAAGAGUUAAGGCAGAUAAUGAUUCAAAAUAUUUAGACUUAGGCAGCAAGGAUCUGACGUUUAAGAGGAUAAUUAUAAGAUUAAGUAAAUUUUUAGGAGAAGACACGUAUUAGACGAGGAGUCAUCUUCUCCCUUCACAUUCAUCUGAUCUACCCCAUUCUUUAAAAACCCAUUCUGCGUAUCUCUUUUUACACCAUCUCUCAUCAAGUUCCUAUCAAGAAAUCACAAACAAAUAUCAUGUCCCAAAAUCAAGAAAGAAAUCAAAGUAGGAAGAAGCUCAUAUUCAAUCAUCGAAGAAAAGAUGGUGACUUGACGAUCUUUCCGGCGGAGUUUUGGCGAGCGGGGUAUAGGGCUCGAAAGCCCUCUGUAUAAGCUUCGUUUUGGUGGAAGUUUCCGGCUUGUUUCUCCGGUGGUGAUAGUUGUGAUCCGACGGCGAAGUUCAGCUGAUCCUAAAACCUUUCGGAUUUAAUUAGAGGUAUUUAGAAUUGAAAUUUCGGAUUUAUUUCUUCACCAAAACUGUAGAAUAGGUUGAAUAUUGUUCGAAUGAUUGAUUUUCCCCAAUUUGUUUAGAAUCCUUUUUGGAACUGAUUUUAAUUCUACAAUAGCUUCAAAGAUUUUCGAAAAUAAAACUUGUAGUUGUUACUCUGAUUUUCGGAACAGAAUUUGGGAGCUUUGGAAUUCGAAUUUUAAAAUCGUUUCUUCUCAAACAUCAUAGAUUUUCUGGAGUACGUUAAUUAUAUGUUGAAGCUCGUUCCAUAUGAUUGAGUUCUAUAGGCUUUUUGAACGGAGGAAUAUGGGCGUUGAAAGCUGUCAAUUCUGGCAGCUCGUAUGAUUAAUCUUGUGGGGCUGUUUUCUGUAUAUUCAAGAUAUAAUUUGAGUUUGAUGUCUUCUGUCCAUUUGUAGAUGAAGUCGUUAUGUUCGAUUUCAUAUACUAUUCGUUAAAUUUGGAUAACAUUUCGAAUUAUUACGAUUUUUCAAAAAUACUGCCAGAAAAAGGAUUUUGUAAAUGCCGGCAGUUUAUAUUAACCUGUUCGGGGGCUGUUUCAACUAUGUUAUGCUCAAAAUUUCAAAAUGGUUUCUUCAUUAAACUCUUAGAUAUCGUUCUUGGCUUUAAUUUGGUAUAUCAUUUGUUCUGUUUCGAAAAAAAUGUAUAGCAUGUUAUUAAUUUUCAAAUAAGUUGUACCAGAAAUGAAUUUUAAAAUGUUUGACAGUCCUGUUAUAGGCUGGUUUUUGGAAAUUCUGCUAUUUUUGGUUCAGAAUCAGGGGUGAAAGUCUUCUGUGAACUCGUAGUAUUAUUUGUUAGCUUUCAUUUGGUAUAUCAUGUUAGCAAUUUGGAUAAACGUGGAAUUUGUUAUGAAUUUUUGAAUAAACUGUGGCAGCACAUACGUUUUAUUAUUAUGUUAAGAAAGUCGUCAUAUAUGAACAUAUUUUAUUGGUCUUCGUCCUGGUAACAUAAACGUGAUGGUUAUGUGGUAAGUUUUGAUGUUAGUUACGGGGUUAGAUUAAUUUAGAAUUGGUAAGUGAAUUAGUCGACCUUAAGAACAUAUAAAGCUAGGAAACGUAGAGUGUAUAUUAUUUCAUUUUAAUAAAUAAUUUGGUGUCUUAUAGUUUAAAUAUUGCUUAGGUCUUGAGAUCGAGGAACCGUGAUCGACGAGUACUCUUGAUUGGACCAAGGUGAGGGUUCUCUUGCUCGACCUUUUCUGGGAAUAUGAUAAACUCGGGUAAUUGUAUCGCUCGAGUACUUGAAUUUUGCUCCCUUUCAUUGAAUUGAUCUACUCGUUAUCAUUUGAUUAUCGUUAUUUGAAAUUGAUUGGAUGAUGUUGAGCUUGAGAUUAUUUGAGAAAUGCUAUCUUAUCGAGUGUUCAACUCUUUGAUUUCCAUUUCCUUCGAAUAGUACUUAUCGAGUGAUCGGUAUGAAAUUCUUUGAAGCCGAUCGUUUUCCUUCAAGUUUUAUUCAAUUAUCUAAACUUCAUAUCUUGAAACAUCGAGCCCUCUUUGAAACCUUUCACUUGAUCCCAUUUCUUCGGAAUUCUUUUGUCUUUGAAAUCCUGAAAUAAUCAGAAUAAUAUGGUAUUCUUAUAUGAUCGAUAAAGUCCUUUUGGGACGCCUAAAGGACAAUGGAUAUUAAUGGGCCCGGGGCUGUUUGGAGGUGACCGCUGGGCGGUAUCGGGCCGACGGUGGGUAGUCUCUCCAACAGUACCCACAUAGGUUUAGACCCGUACACAACUGGAGGUUAGUUGGGUUUCGGGCUAAACCGGCAUGCGCCCGGGCAUGCCACAUUGCAUUACAGGGUCAUUCCCUGCUUGGUGAAUAGUAAACGGCUACGGGAGUCACAAGGUAGGUGUAUUCUUAUCUCUAUUGAUCGGAAAAUUUAUUGAUCAUCCUUACUAUUAUUCUUGAAUUUCCAAUCGAUGGAUAAUCUUUCAUCGCUUCUAUUUUCCGAUAUCACCAAUUGGUUCGAUCAUCAUACUUUCUCUCGGAUCAUGUCGUAACUCGUUAUUCUUAUAUUUCACCUCACUAAGUCUUCUAUGACUUAUCCCUCUAUUUUAUUCUGUCAUAUUCUCAGACGCAGGUGCAGGCUCGAAUGAAUCAGGGGAAUUCCAGUCUGAGUAACUACUUUGUAUAUAUUUGUAAAUUAGUGAAUUGAAUUAAGUUCCCAAUAAUCGCUGUCUUAUAUUAUAUAUAUCAGCGUUUGAACUUAUUUAUGUUAUAGUAUUGUAAUCUCAUAAGCUAGGAGCUGUUGUUAUAAUUAUUCGGAACCUUUGUACUUUACCUUGCUAGAAGUGAGGUUGUUAAUAAAUAAAUCGUACGUAUUUUUAUGAACUAUAGUUUGAUUAGUAAUUAGUAUUAUCCAUGAAAAAAAAAAAAAUAGACCGGGUAAUUUCAUAGAGUAAUUUGACAAACGCUUCAUAGAAGGCGGGCGUCACACUAAUACUAAUACUAAUACUAAUACUAAUACCAAUACUAAUACUAAUACCAAUAUCAAUACUAAUACCAAUACCAAUACUAAUACCUAUAUUAAUACUAAUACUAAUACUAAUACUAAUACUAAUACUAUUACUAUUAGUAAUAAUAAUAGUAAUAGUAAUACUAACACUAAUACUAAUACUAAUACUAAUACUAAUACUAAUACUAACUAAUACUAAUACUAAUAAUAAUACUAAUACUAAUAGUUAUACUCAUAUUAAUAUUGUUAGUGAUACUAAUUCUAAUACUGAUAUUGGUACUAAUAAUGCUAUUGAUACUGAUAAUAAUACUAAUACUGAUACUGGUACUACUACUUAUACUAAUACUAAUAUUGAUACUGAUACUAAUACUAAUACUGAUACUUGUACUGAUAUUAAUAUUAUUGUUAAUACUAAUACUAAUACUAAUACUCAUACUAAUACUAAUGCUAAUAAUAAUAAUACUCAUACUGAUACUGAUAUUGGUACUGAUAUUGGUAUUGAUACUGAUAUUGAUACUGAUAUUUAUGGUAAUAUUAAUAGUAAUAUUAAAGGAAUACUAAUAUAAUAUUAAUAUUAAUACUGAUACGCAUACUGACACUCAUACUAACACUCAUACUAAUACUGAUUCUCAUACUAAUACUCAUACUGUUAUUCAUACUAAUACUGAUAAUAAUAAUACUGAUAUUGGUAAUGAUAAUAUAAUACCGAUAUUGAUACUGAUAUUUAUACUAAUACUGAUACUGAUACUAAUACUGAUUCUGAAACCGAUAUUGAUAGUGAUGUUAAUACUGAUAUUAAUACUAAACUAAUAUUAAUACUAAUAUUAAUACUAAUUCUAUUACUAUUACUAAUACUAAUAUUAAUACUAUUACUAUUACUAAUAUUAGUACUAAUACUAAUACUAAUACUAAUAUUUUAAUACUAUUACUAAUACUAAUAUGUUAAUAUUGUUAAUGUUAAUGCUAAUGUACUAAUGCUAAUACCAAUUUUAAUGUUAAUUCUAAUCUGGAUAUGCUAAUCAUUAUGCUAAUGCUAAUUAUAAUUUUAAUCCUAAUAUUAUCCAAAUCACUAUCAUAUUCCUAAUCCUAUUCAUAACAUUAAUCAUAAAUCUAAUGGUAAUCCUAAUCCUAUUCCUAACACUAAUCAUAAUUCUAAUCACAACCCUGAUAAUUUUAAUACUAAUAAUGCUAAUGGUAAUGGUAAUGUUAGUUAUAAUUCUAUUUCUAAUCUUAAUUCUAAUCAUAAUAUUAAUCCUAAUGCUAAUCAUAAAUCUUAAUACUCAUACAUGUCACUAAUUGUAGUACUAAUCAUAAGCAUAAUUUUAAUUCUAAUUCUAAUACUAAUAUAAAUCAUAAUCAUAAUCCUAAUAUUAAUUCUAAUACUAUAUUAAUCCUAAUUAUAAUUCAAAUCCUAAUCCUAGUAUUAAUACUAAUACUAAUUCAAAGAAUAUUAAGUAUAAUCCUAAUAAUAAUCACAAUCCUAAUUCUGUUUUUGCAUCAUUUUUUUUUGCAAUGAUCUAUUAUUUUGUAUCAAAAAUAAUUUUAUUAAAUCACGCGACCUUUAUAUCAAUCCUUAUGCAUGGUAGCUGAAGCAUCAAAAAAUACAUAUUAAAUAUAUUAGAAAUUAAUAUUUAAUUAUAUUAUCAAAAUGACAUUAAAAUUAUUUAAAAUAUUAUAAGAAUAUAAGAAAACGUUAAGACGUAAAAAGAACAAUAAUCAUUGUUAAUAGGAUAAAUUAUGAAAAUCCUCUUGAACUUAGGCUAAAGUAUGAAAAACACCCCCACUUAUCAUAAUUACCAAAAUCCCCCUGAUGUUUGUUUUUGUCUUACAGGAGCCCCUUAUGGUGUGAGUUUUUACGGCAUAUUUUUCAUUCCAUGUAAUAUCCCAAAAAAUGUGGAUUCUACUCUUGCCGUCGUGAAAUUUAUUUUAUCCUACUUUUUAAAUACAAAAAUUAUCCUCAAGGGAGGUAAUGGUAAUACUUAAAAGUUCUGAAUAAGAAGAAUAAAUAUUUCGUGUAAAGUCCCCUGAGGGUAAUUUUUGUAUUUAAAAAGUACCAUAAAGAAAUGUCGCGUGUGCAUGGUAGAAUCGGCAUUUUUCAGGGAAUAUUCCACGUAAUAAAAAAAAUCCAUGUAAAAUCAUAUCAUUAGGGGGUCGAUGUAAGACGAAAACAAACAUCCGGGGAAUUUUGGUAAUUACGAAUAUGUGGGGUGUUUUUCUUAAUUUAGCCUAAGUUCAGGGGAUUUUUGUAAUUUAUCCUUGUUAUUAUACAACUUAAAUUGAUUUACACGUAUGUUAGAAACUAACAUAAAGGAAAGGCUGAUGCUAAUGAAAAUAGAUCAAAUUUCAAGUAAGCAAAAGUCAUUAUCAAAUGCUUAUAAAAAUAAAAAUUAAUUGGAUUUUUGUGUAAGUCAGUCGAAUAUAUUGUGAUUUCAAAAAAGAAAAAUAGAGAUAUAGAAUAGAUAUUAGAUUCUUAUAAACUCAUCUAAAAAAAAAAAGAUUCUUAUAAACCUUAUAAAAUAUAUACUUUUAUUUUAUAAAUAUUUAAAAAAUGGAAAUUAAGAAAAUAAAUAUAUCUUAAUAUAUUUGAUGGGGAAUUAGAAAACUUAAGAAUAUUUCACUAAUUUAGAUAAAUAACUUGUAAGUUAGACAAAAGAAUUCAUGCAUUAUGAUAUGAAAAUAUAGUGAGAUAUAUACGGUGUUAUAAUAUUUAAUAAUCAAUUAUUUACGCUAUAAUGUCCUACAUUAAUAUUUUUAUUUUCAUAUGGUUUAAUUUAAAAUUUUAAUUUUAAAAAUUAGUCAGAAUAUUAGUAGCUAAACAUAAUUAUUUUGCCAUGAUAGGUUGUAUAUAUCUUUACCAACAGUAUAAUGGAUCAUAGUAAAUUUCGUAUAAAUUCGAUUUGGUACCAAUAUCGUACCAAAUGAAAUGAUAACCAUUAAUUUGGUAUUUGUUCGAUAAAAUUUUGUUGGUAUACUAUGAUACUUGAUAUUUGAUAAUUUGUUUCCAUCCAUAGCCACAAUAUUGCAUCAAAACAUUCUCAAUUGGAAAAGACACACACAUACUUAUGCAAUUACUUCUCAUAUAAUUGUAGUCUUUUAUGUAAUAUAUAAAUAUCUUAUUGAGUUUGUAACUAAAAAUGGAUCAUAAAAACUACUGAUUUGCCGAUUGAUAUUGUAUUUGUUAAUGUUAAUUAUUUAAAAAGAGCACCUCGAGUGGGGUUUAAAUGGACUAUCAAAACUUUUAAUCGCCACUUUGAUACUAAAAAAUAGUAAUUUUUAAUUCCAAUAGAGUUAUGAAAUGAUGAUUGUAUUUUAAUAUUUCAUCUUUCGAAUUGUAAAAAUACAUCAUGCAGAAUAAAAUAUCAAACAUGAGUUAUGAAUUUAACCAUCUCAGUGUCCAUUUAGAAAAUGACAUGUGGCAAUUAGAUAUACAAAUCAAUUUAAUUAUUUUUAAUUAACAACAAUAUAAUAUAUACAUAUGGUUGGAGCAAAUACAUUUAGAUAAAUAUCAAAAUAAAGUAUUAAUAUCGCAUAAAUAUUUGCAAACUCAUUUUGAUAGUUUUGGGUUGGAGUUACUCUAGAUGUGUACUUAAUUAUAUUUAUCAGAGUGAAAUAAUCAUUAGUGAAAUACAAUAUAUAGUAUAUACGAUCAUUAUACAUUUUAAAUAAAACAAUUGAUAUUCUUAAUCUUUUUUCUUUGAAAGAGAUAUUACUAAUCUUUGGUAUUAAAUAAGGUGAAUAAACGAAUAAUACCAAAGAUUUAGAAUAACAUUAUUAUAUUUUGAAAUAUAUAAAAUCAAUUCAUAUUCUUUUUUAUCAAUUGAUUAAACUUAACUUAUGUUAUUCAAUUUAAUAGUAUAAUCAUAAGAAAGUGUGUGUGUUAAUUAGUAUAUAAUUAAAAAAGUUAAAUCAAUCAUAAUUUUUUGUCACUCGAUUCAGUGAAAAAAAAAAAGUUAAAACAAUAACAUGAAAUUCAAGUAGUAUAAUUUUCAAUAUGGUAAAUAAUUGACAGCAUGUUAGUGUACACAUGACAGACAAAAAAAAAUAGUGCUAAUUUUCGCAUUAUAGUAUGGUCAUGUUCAUGUAAAAUGUAUAAUAUCAAAUGAUUUAUUCCGCAAUAUCUUUUUUAAUAUAAAUCCAAGUUUAUGAAUUCAAAUAAAAAAAAUUAUGUAACACCACCGGUUAAGGAAUUAUAAUAAGGGAAGAUUUGAAAUUGCAUUUAACUAAAUUCAAAUAAAAUUAAUUAUUAUUAAAAUUAAAUUAAAUUAAAAAAUAAAUCUAUUUAGAGUUUCCAAGGAAGUUGAUAUAUUUAGAGCAUUUUAUAAAUGAUAGGAUAUAAAUAUAUUAAUAAAAUAAUUAAAUAUAUUUAAUUAUCUUUAAUUUUAGAAAAUGGUGACAUGUUUUUUGAAGAUUUAUUUUCACCAAUCAAUUUGCCACAUGGGAUGAAAUUGAAUACAUGUCACCAAUUGAAAUUGCCAAAGGUCAAGCAAUUGUGGAUGAAAUUCAAUUUUUAUAUAUUAUAUAACAUAAGUUACAUUAGAUCUUAUUAUAUAAUGAAAUAUUACAAUAAAACAUAAACAUGACGAAAAAAUAAACAUCCGUUGAACAAACUAAAUGAAUUUUUGUACAAACAACAUCACGCAAUUGUUAUAUAAAUUAUGGAAGGAAAAGAAAAAAAGAACACCUGACCAUGUGCAGCAUGAAUUUUCAUGUGAAAGUAAAAAAACACUAUGUGGAGAAAGGAUGCUAUGGAAUGGGUGAGAAGGGAGCGAGGGUAUUAUACUUAGUUCUCCGUCACCCAUUUUCUAACCAAAUCACGUAAAAGUUAUGCUUUUUUUAUAUAUAAAAAUCCAUCAAAUAUUUUCACCAAUUGCAAUGAAAGAUCUACCAAUUGAAUAAUUUGAUAAUAAAAGUUUAUGAGAAUUUCUUUUGUAUAUCACAUGAGAAAAAAAAAAUUUAAGUAAAUUAAAGAGACAUUUUUUUUUUUGCCUUUUUUCGCUCGAAAUUAGGUUGUACUCAAUUAGAAUAAAUGAUAUUCUAAUUUUGUAUAAUGUAUCUCGAAAAACAAAAUCACCAAAAAGAUGACCAUUCCCUCAUAAAAUUUUAAAAAGAAUAUUAUAGUAGUGUGCAGUGUGAAUGAUAUAUUGUGGUUUGAGGGUGAAAAAUACUAAAAUAUUUUUUAGGGUGCAAAAUGCCAAAAGACUAAAUUUAAAAACAAUUGCCAACUAACAUAUUACGGUAGUUAACAUGAAGCAUAUUAUAAUGAAUAUGUAUCUAAAACAUAAAUUUAUAAAAAUAAUAUUCGAAAAUCCGCAAAAAAAAUGACUAUAUUUUCAAAAACCAAAAAAACUCACUCGAUUUGAUUAAAAGUCAAUAUCGUUGAAACGUUUAUAUCAAUUUACAAAAGUAUUCUACCUUAUUAACAUAUACUAACACUGCAUUCUAAAACACAAACAAAUCUAGCGAUGGAGAAGAACAAAGUGUAACCAUAAAGUGUCUCCUUAAAUGAGUAAGAAAAAUAAAUAGAAAACAAUAGAAGAAGAUUUAAUAGCAAGCGUCGUGCGCUCUCUCUCAUCUCUUGCAUGUGAAAUCUUUAAUUUUGUUGAUAAAUUUGAUCAACAUGUUCCUUCUAUUAUAACCAAAAUAAAAUAAUUAUAUUGGUAUUUAUAACGGAACAUUUCGAGAAAAAAAUAAUAAAAAAAUAAUAAUAUGUAUCUAACGAACUAAAAUAAUAAUUACACAAAAAUAAACGUAAAUCCCAUAAUUGAAUACAAAUAUGAAAAAAAAAAUAUUGUGUUAACUCUAUAGUGUUUUCGUGUGAUUCCAAAAAGUAGGGUGUAGAGUAUGAAUGUGAUUGAAUGUCUUAGGAUUGAGGGUUUUUAUACUAAUUUUCGGAGAAUAAAAAAGUAAAAAAAAAUGUUAUGAAGGAAAGAGAGAUUUAAUGGCAUAUAUUUAGAAGAUAAUUGAGGAAAUUAAUUUAAAUUACACUUAGUGAAUAAUGACUAAUUGACAAAAUAAUCAAUUCAUGUGAUAUACAUUCUGAAAAUAAACUUUCGGAGAUUUGAUUGUAAAAAAGAUUUGAUUUUGAUAUUUAUAAUAUAUAAGAUAUAAAUAACAUUAUAAAAAAAAUGAGGAUAAUUAAUUUUAAAUUAAGCAUUCAUUUCAUUAUUACAAUUUACAAAAAUUAGGUAUUAAUACAUAAAUAUUCAUUGAUGUUGAUUUUGUAAGGAAAUAUUUUUAAUGUUUAGUAAUUAUGGAAAUGUGCGUUGAAGAGCUUACUAAAUAUUUAAAACCAAUGUAAAUUGAUUUGAUUCAAAUUAUCUGUAGAAAUAAUUGACACCACUUAUUACACAAAUCCGGAUAAUUUAUUUUAUUUUGGGUUGAGUUUUCAAUUUUAUUUUGAAAUUGUAGGAUUUUUAAUCCGGAAAUAUAGUUAAAAAAAAAUCAAAUUCUAUAAUGGGCGGCAAUCUAUAAAUCGGAGUUAAUGACAAUUAUUAGUUAAGCACAUUCUAUGAAAAUCAAAAUUGAAUAUUUUACAUAUUAAAUUAAUAUGAUAAAUAUUUUAAUUGAUAUUAAUUGAUUACGAUUAAAGUUGAUACCAUGGAAUAUGAAAAAGAUUUUAAAUAUAUUUGGUAAAUUGUUAUGACAUAAGAUAUUAUUUCCAUGUUAAAAUACCAAUUAAUGAUCCGGAUAAUAUUUUUGGCAAGUUUAGCCUAAUCAUCAAUUAAUGAUGAUAAAUAAAAAUGGAAGAUAUCAAAGUAAUAAAUAAUGACAUGUGUAAAAUGAGUAGGAUGCCAUGUAGAUUCACACGUGUCAAUGACAUGGAUGCCAAAUGUCGGAUUUCUAAGGUAUGAGGGUUUCAAUUUAUAUAUUAUAUAGAUGCUAAUGCCGAAUUAGCUGAUUAAACUGCAGUUAUCUGUUGAAAAUUAGGAAUGAUCGUAUUAAUUUAAAUAUAGAUUGUUCGAGGGGAGUGCAUUGAGUACUGAUGUCAUGCUAACAGUUUAUCAUGUGCAGUGAAAAACUUGAACAACUCCAAUUUGAAGAAGGCAGCAAUCACUCCAUUGAACAUUUCUUGCUGGAGAAGGUACAGUGGCAGCACGAGUGGUCUUUCACCCGAAAGCUACCGUAGUCAAAGUCACCAUAUCCUUCAAAAUAGCGGACUUCAGCACCAUUUCAAGAAUUGGCAAAACUUGAGAAAGCAUAAACUAACAGCAAGUACUUUUGCCCUAGCAGUUGGUUUUUGGCCACGUGGACGGACCAAAUUAUGGCUGGAGAAGAUCGGAACAAACGAACCCUUCUCUGGCAACCUAGCUACAUGUUGGAGCAACAUUAACGAAGAGGAAGCACUCAAAAGAUAUAUACAAAUGUAUGAAGAUUACGGAAAUAGGUUGUUAUUUAUAUCAAAACCCGAAUUUCAGGUCUAUGGGAAGAACAACCCUGAAGAUAAUUGGCUCGCAGCUUCACCUGACAGAGCUAUCGACGGAUCUAAAGACAAAACUGAUUUUUUUUGGGAUCGAACAUAGCCUUCCCAUGGAAACGAGUGCCUCUGCAUUACAUCCCCCAAGCUCAGGGUUUGAUGGAAAUACUCGACCGUGAUUGGAUGGACAUGUAUUGCUACACGGUUAACGGGAGUAGUUUGUUUAGGUUAUACCGAAAUCAAGAGUAUUGGAAAAUCUUGAAGAUAGCGUUGUCUGAUUUCUGGUGGAACCAUGUCCAGGCAGCAAAGGAGAUAAUCAGUACAAGGGUGAUUACCAAUCCGCUUACCGAACUAAGUUGUCUAAGGCCAACCCCUAAGCACGAACUUCAUCAGUGCAUUGUGCAUGCAAGCAAGCUGCUUUUCUAUGGGGAAUUCAAGACCAAGAUAUAAUUACAGCAGAAGAGCUAUAUGAUGGAGGGCCUUGAUAAUACACAGCAGAUUCAAAGCAAUAUAUAUAUACUUACAUGUUUGUUUUACAUACAUGGUUAGUGUCAACUCUAUUUAGGUUCAGUGUUGCUCUUUCGGGUUUCGGGCUUCUUGGCUGCUAAAUGUAAAUUCUUUUUUAUAGGAAUUAGGCAUCGAGGAUAUAGGAUACGCACGGCAUAGAUACGUAUUGGAAAGUCGAGGAGAAUUUUUGAAUUCCGGAAAAAGAUUCGAUCUUGGAGCAAUGUUUUUCAUUCUGAAUUCAUUUCCGAUUUCCGAUUUUUUUUAUUGGAAUAGUGUACUAUUUAUAGAGUUCUUAAUUUCAAUUCCAAGAGCUGGGAUUUUUUUUUGUUCGAAAAUUGUAUUUAUAACAUUAGGAAUAUUGUGUAUUUUAUAAUAUGCCUGAGGCGGCCGUUAUAUGCAAGUCCAUUUUUUUAUUAGUUCAAAACCACAUAAAGGAGUUUAUUAGUUCAAGCCCAUAAAAUAAUCUAAUUUUAUUACAUCAAGACCAAAGAUGACAAAUAGACCUUUAUCCACAAAUAAUACUCAAAUACAAAUAAAUCUUAUUUUUAAUUUGUUCAAGACCAAAAAAAAAAAAAAAAAACAAAACAAAACAAAAAAGAAAUAUCACGACGGCUAAAUAUUAAUCUAUGCUAAAUAUGUAUGAACGAACAUUAAUCUAUGCUUAUUUCUUGUUGGGUUGCAAUGAUUUGGCCGAUUUUGGAAAAAAAAAUUGAGAUUGAAAUUGGUUUUUUUAUUUUUUUCGUUGGUUUCCCAAAUCGGUUUAUCCAGACCGAUUUUGUACACGAAAAUCGGCGUCAUAAUACCGAUUUUUGUUAACCAAAUCGGCGACACAACGUCGACUUUACAAGUCAAAAUCGGCGUUCUAAUGUCGAUUAUUGAGUACAAAAUCGGUUUUCGAAUACCGAUAUUUUUUGAAUUUUUUUUUUAAAAUAAUACAUUAUAUAUUUGGUUAAUUGAUAUUUUUUAAAUAUUUGAAACAAAAAUGUUUAUCACCAUUCGGUGGCGUCUACCACUCCUUUAACUCAAUCGAGUAGAGCUUUUCGUAUCUCAAUUAUUUAUUCGUUAGAUAAUUCAUUUGAAUAAUCCUCCAUCAAUUCCCUAGGUUGAUGUACGAAAGUAUGAGAAAACGGUCUUAAAAAAACACAGAUAAUAAAAUCGGUAUUUAAAAACCGAAUUUUGUAGUACAAGUCGGCAUGACAAUACCGAUAAUAAAAAAACAAAUCGGUGUUGUCAUGCCGAUUUUUACUACAAAAAUCGGUUUUUAAGUACCGAUUUUUAUUAAAAUAAUCGGAAUGUGGUUACCGACUUUAGUAACAAAAAUCGGUAUUUGCAGACCGAUUUUUGGUAUCGUCGAAUUUUUUUCCCAACAAAAAAAAAACGACCCAAAAGCAAAAAUAAACGGUUAAAACAUAUUUCAUUGUGUUCUCCACCCUCGUAAACCACCAUAUCAUUGUUUUCUGGUUCCAUCGUGAAUGUUUGGUAUGCAUUUGAUAAUUUUGGUGUGUAGGAUUUCUUGGUGGAUUUCUUGAUAUUUAUAAACCCUAAAAUCCGUAGAGAACCCCUCUUUCGAAGAUUCAAACCCAGAAUUAAUUCCGGCAUUGAUCCAGAAAGAUGAGCUCAUACAUGAGCAAAGUGUUCCCCAGAUCCAAUUCGAGGCCAAAGUCGUCCGCCUGAGAGAAGAAAUGUACCUCGUCGACGCCGGAAUCGGCCGCCCCAGAAUCGCCAACAAGCAGGAGCUCAUCAAACCACCCAAAUCCAGCCGGGUCGGGUUCCUCACCCCGUCGAACCGGGAGACGCCGUCGUGCUCCAGCGCUGCUUCGUCUAUCUGGUCACCGGCGAUCCCCGGACCAAGCAGCAGGCCGCCACCAGGUUCGACGAACGACGCCGCCGCGUCCGGCGGCGAGCAGAGGUUCAGGAAACAGCGCGCGUGGGUGGAGCUGAAGAACACGUGGAGGUCCAAUUCGAAAGUGAGAGGAGGGUACGCCGUAGCUGUAGCCGGCCAAAUUGCGUUUCUUCCUGCUCGGCCCAGUGAUCGGUUUAUUAUCGAGAGCAUCACCCCCAAGAAUUUUGUUGUUGCCAAAGCUUAACAAGUGAUGAUUUUUCGGUUAGAUUUUCUAUUAAAAUCCUCUUCUUUUAUUUUUUACAUUCGAAUUUGUGUUGUUUCGAUUUGAUUUCCUUCUGUUGAUAUUGAUUUGGAGUUGAUUUUUAGAAAAUAAAAAUAAAAAUGCUGGCCAAGGGUGUUUGUAGUUGAUCUUUGUUCGUAUCCGAAAUGAAGCUAAAUAAGUUGGAAACAAAUGGUCGUUUUUUUAUGCAUACAAAUGUUGCUUAUAUGAUUAUCCAUUAUUGAUAUUAUGCUGUGUUUAGCUCUAGUGUCUUGAUUUUUUUUUUUUUUUAACUAUUUCAAGAACUAUGGUGCGGAAUCUUUCGAUUAUUUUAAUGGAGUGGAAUAUACCUAAGUUGAGGAAAGAUGGCAACUUCCUGAAAAAAAUCGGAUUGCUUAGUAUCUACGAAAGAAGUGAAGAAGAUUGCUGCAAGAUUCUUGCUCAUAAUUACCCAUAUCAGCAUAUACAGCGAAAUUAAUACAGUCGGGACUAGAGACAUUCUAUUAAUUUAGCAAAUUAUUAAAUUUAUCGAGUUAAUAAUUUAACACGCCGAGUCGGGACCGAGAGAAACUAUUAUUUAAUCAAGGUUAUUAAGUUAUCGUGGUUCUACUGCAUAUAUAUAAACACAUGUUGUAGAUUUACACACAAUCGCAUACAUACACAUGUGGAUAGGUGUGAAAUAUAUGUUGAAUGUUUACAUAUGCGGUAGGCUUACACGUGGUGACGUUCACGAAUAAACCAACGUAUAGUGAUGCUUGCUAAUAAUCACGUAUUAACGAAGUUUAAGGUUGUUGAGAUGUUUGUAGAAAGCGAAUUUCUUCUUCCUUGAUACAUAUUUUGCUAAUCUUCUUUAACUUCGUCUUGUAAUUUUCAUGUGCCACAUUAUUGGGUUUUUCGUCUGCAUUGACUUGAGAUUGAAAUUACUCGGACCACCAUUGUAGUUUGCUAUGUAAAUAUCAUGCCGGUUUUCUUGCAUAUUUUUUCCCUUUUUUUCGAAUCUCGUCUCUCGAAUAGAAGCUAAAUGUUGUUAUGGGUCAUGCCUUAAAAACGUGUAUAUGCGUAUCAUUUUGCCAAAUUAACAUAAUGACAUUAUACACUUGUUCUUUGUGCUGUGGAUGUCGAAAAUCCUCGUUUAUAUACAUCUUAGUACUAUGUUCCUAUGGAUUGAUGACAAUCAGACAAAUGGUUGAAGAAAAUUUUCAAAAUUGCAUUUUAUAAGAAAUGGAGAAACAAAUCAUAAAACUAGGGAAAUUUCGGAAAUUAUUAAUAUUAGUAAUAAAUUUAAAAUAAAUACAAAUAUGCCGUUAGAGUUUCUUAGUUGUGCCUUUUUUUUUACGUUUAUAUAUAAAGAUUACGUAUCUCGUUGCAAAUCCAUUCAAUUUUGUUGCAAGGUUCCUGGCUGUAGUUACUCACAUCAAAUUGUUUAUUUUCUUUAUUUCUCUUGCUUUAUUUAUUUUUCUUUAUUUCUUUUUCAGUAAACCGUUAUAUAUUGGCUUCAUGAAUCCAUAUCCAUUACAUGGGAGACAAGAAGACCAACAUUACAUCAAAUUAGUGGUCCACAUCGAAAAGUUAAGAUAAUGUAUUUUUUGGGAAAAAAAGAAGAUAUUGGAGAACAAGUAAUAUUUAGAGUUAACUGCAAAAAAUUCCCUAAACUUUGGACGUUUUUGCGCUUUACCCCCUGAACGGAAAAAAGUUGCACGAGCAUACCUGAACUUGUUAAAUUGUUGCACCGAUGAUGAAAAAAUCCAUUUAUAGCAAAAAUUCGGCCUGAAUUGCACACGUGCAACUCACACGUGAUAAUGAAGGGGCAAUUUCGUCGAUUCACAAAACUUUCAGAUAAAAGAAUAAAUAAAAAAAGAGAAAAGAAAAAGAAAAAAAGAAAAAGGAAAAAGAAAAAAAAGGGAACACAGCCCCCAUCAUCUUCGAUUCUUCGUCUCCCUGUUGCUUCAAAACAGGGGAAGAUUUUCACACCACAGCCACCACCAUCUUUCCACACCACAGCCACCACCAUCUUUCCACGGCCGCCGCGCCAUCUCUCUCCACCGCCUCCGCACCACCAUCUCUCUCCACCGUCGCCGCACCAUCAUCUCUCUCCAACGCCGCCGCACCAUCAUCUCUCUCCAACGCCGCCGCACCACCAUCUCUCUCCACCGCCGCCGCACCAUCUCUCUCCACUGCCGCCGCACCUCCAUCUCUCUCCACCGCCGCCGCCGCACCAUCUCUCUCCACCGCCGCCGCACCAUCUCUCUCCACCGCCGCCGCACCACCAUCUAUCUCCACCGCCGCCGCACCAUCUUUUCUCUUUUUUUAUUUAUUCUUUUAUCUGAAGAAUAAACACAAAUGAAGAUGAAAAUCACUGGGUUUUUUUUCUCCAUAUAAUUUCAAACCUUCAAUCACAAUUUCACAAAUUACAAUUUCAAAAAAAAAAAAAAAAAUCAGUUUACAGUUCUUCAAAUCAUCCAUUAUUAAUUCUAAUAUGAACUUUAAAUUUUAAAAACCCUCCUAAUCAAUUAAAUAAUUAAUCAACCAACCCUUUUUUCUUCACAGAGUAAUGAAACAUUAAAAAAAAGAAAAAAAAAAAAAAAGACAAUUAAAAAAUCAUAAAUUCUUACAAGCAUAGAUGAUGAAAGAGAAAUCAACUUUAUCAAGAUCCUUCUGCACCAUCUUCUCUUCCAGCCACAACCUGCUAUCCAAUCCACUCCUUGUCAUGAACAUAAACACCGCAUUUCCCGGUGCACCGGGAUUAUAAAACCAGUCAAUCACAUCCCACAUUAAAUCCACAAGCAACCCAUCCAAGAAUAUCGUUUUUCAAUUCUCUCAAUAAUUGAACUAUUUCUGUAAAAGAAUUAAGAAAAGAAGAGAGGAGUUGUUUGUUUUGUUGCAUCUUUUGGUUGGGGCUGGUGUUGAUGGGAGGAGUUUGGUUGGGGAUGAUGGUGACGGGAAGAAGAGGCGUUUUUUUCUUUUUCUUUUUUUUUUUUUUUUUUUUUUAAGAUUUAUUAAAAAGAUAAGAAAGUAUAUGGGUGUAAAGGAAAUGACUCAUUUACCCCAGCUAUAUACACGUGUAAGGCACGUGACUCGGAUUCCGGUCAAUUUUGGCCAAAAAUGGACAUUUUGGACAUUGGUGCUAAAAAUAAUAGAGUUCAGGUAUGCUCGUGCAACUUUUUUCCGUUCAGGGGAUAAAGCGCAAAAACGUCCAAAGUUUAGGGAAUUUUUUGCAGUUAACCCUAAUAUUUAUGAUCUGGAUAUUUUAGACUAUAAUGAUUAUGAUGUUUCACUAUAUUUUACACAAGGGAAAAGUAGAUAUGUGACUGAGGUAAACAUUGGCUAUAUGGACUCGGCCAAAUUUCUCACACCACUUUACUAUUUUACAUAUUCUCAAUUAUGCCCUUCAACUACUCACUCCAACAAUUUAGAGAGGAAAAAAAAAGUCAAAUAUCGUUCCUCUCUCUCUCCGCUGCUGUAGUUAUCGAAGUCUGCCGGCACCGCCUUCGACCUUCCGCUAGAUGACGAGGAGCUCGUGAAACGCAUCGUAGUCUCUGGAAUUGGGGCUCGCCGACUGCUAUAAGGCUGCGAAAAUCCACCGAGAGGCGGUGCACGGCUGAGUGGGUUUGCGUUUGGAAGGGUUCGAUUACGACUCCUUUAGGGGCUUUGCUGCGAGAUGUUUGUGUGGUUUAUGUGCAGAUUCCGAUGGGAAUAGUGUGUCUUUACGGCGAUGGAAGUGGCGACGACGGCAAAAUGUUGGGUGUCUUUUAUCUGUCGUUUCAUCGGUUUUCUUUCCUUACCUUGCCAUAAAUCGGAUGGCUGCGGACAAUGCAAUAAAUCGGAUGGCCGUGUCUUUUCAUCGGUUUUCUUUCCUUGCCUUGCCAUAAAUUGGAUGGCUGCGGACAAUGCAAUAAAUCGGAUGGCCGCAAUUGUCACGCAUAUCGGAGCGGGCUACAACGAAUUGGAACAACAUGAAUCGACUAAUUUACUUCUCCAGCUCUCAAACUCUCAAACGAUGAUUUAAAGAGAUCUCAAACUAGGGGUCUUCACUUUUAAUUAAAAGUUAAAAAAAAUUAAAUGUAGUUUGAUUUGGGGCUAGGAAACGACAUUUUCAAAAUUUACAAUCUAGUCCUAAUUGUUUUUUAUUUCUUUUAAAGUAAAAAGAUAAUUUCAUAACCUACAAUUUCACCCAUAAUUCUUAUUCUCUCAACAUUGAUAGAAUUGUUCCAAAAUUAGAAAUUAAUAGUAAAAACUUGUUCUAAUUUUUUUGCAUUUUAAUUCCCGUUCAAUGUUCCGGCGAACCAUGAUUCAUUAACAAUCCCGAAUUCAUUCCAGAAAGGAAAAAAUAGUGAAUGAGCAGAGCAAUCAACCAAAAUCAGUACAUUACAAUUUGUUAUUCUCUUAAUUUACAUCAACAACUCCAUUUCCCAUCACAAAUCAAUCCCACAAUACUACAAAUUACAAAAACACCACAAAAAGAAAAAAAAAGGGCUAACUAAUUAAUUACUGUUUUUGGCUCAUAUAUUAAAAAAAAAAAAAUUAUCUAGAAGAAGAUGUGUUGAAGAAGAAGAUACGAUUGAAGAUCCUGGAACAAGCGGAUCUAAGACGAGGGUACACCCUAAGAGUGUGCGCACUGGAUUCCUUCCACACAUCUUCAAUUAUCUCCACAAACAGAUUCAAGCUUCUUAUCGGUGGUAUGUACAGAGUCAGCGGCACCGCCGAAAACGCCACCGCGAAGAACAAGUGCAGCAUCUCUCUUAUCAAUCAAUCAAUCAAUUAUUGCAAUUGCAAACCCAAAAAAAUCUGAGAAAAGAUUUUUAUUGUGGAUUUGGUGGAAGAAUGAAGGUUUGAAUUAUUUGGGAUUUUUUUUUAUUUUUUUUUGAAUAAAAUAUAAUACAAGGUGGGGAACUAUGAAGUAUUUAUUUUAUUAUUACUUAAUUAAUUAAUUAUUAAAGAGAGGAAAUUAUGAAGAUAGAAUUAGAGGCCACGAUAUUGCGUGGGAAGUCAGCUACUUGUAAUUUCUGGGAGUCCGCAGAAUUAGUGACCGUUCAUCUUCCCCUUUGGUGCCACCUAGGAUAAGUUAAUGUUUUUUCUAGAAUGUUCCUAUCUUUAUUGUGUUUAGUUUUUUUUUCCCUUUUAAAUUUACACUUAUAAAUGAUUAAAACAAUACUCACAAAAGUAUGAAUGACAAUUUGCCCCGCCCAGCCCCGACCUGAAAUUUCACUCGAUGGUUAUCCACGAGUACUCAUGGGAAUUUUAUGGAUGGUUUCGGAGAUCUCAGUUCAUCUAAUUUUGAAAAGAAUGAGGAUUUGGAAUUCUAGAGUGAGGCAGGACGUGGAUUGCAAGACUCGCCCCAUUGCCAUCCCUACUCGAAAGAUUCAAGUUAUUAAUAAUAGCAGAGCUAGCAUAGAACAAUGGGAUUUGGUUUUCAUUGAUUAAAAAAAAAAGGAAAAUCAAUAUUUCAAUAGAGGUGUCAAUGGAGUCAUGUUCGAAUUCACUAACAACGUUUUUUAAAUUGAAUUUAUCACAGAUGAGUUAUACACAUAAAUAAAGGUUUAACGAGAAAUAUAUGUAUGAGUUUGAUUUAUGAAUUACAAACAUGGAUAAGAAAAACAUAUUAUUUGAAUAAUGUAAUUCAUAAACAUAAAAAAACAUUGAAAAUCACUAUUCAAGAUUAAGGAUAAACUUACAACUCAUUCCUCAAUUUUUUUAGCUAAACCAAAUAACACCCCUAUCUACUAAAAGUAAGGACAAAAUGCAUUUCGCCCCCUAGAAAUUUUUAGUUUUCGCUUUUUCUCUCUAUAAAUUUAAAACUGAGACUCUUUCCCUUCCAAAUUUUUUUAUAGUUGCAAUUUCCAUUCUAUUUUUUUUUAUCGGUUUUUUAUUUUCGUCAACUUGAAGGGCAUUUUCGUAUGUUCACCAAUCUCACCCAAAUAUUAAUGUCGUUGAAAACCAGAUGUUAAGAUGGGUUCUAUGUUUGCUGGUGCAUCAAUAUCGAUCCAAGCUGUAAUGGGCUGGAUCUUUCGCAUUGUAAAUCGAGGUUGCUGGAGUAAUUGAACCUCGGCAUAAAAUGCAACGGCGCAUGCACCGUGUUUCCUCUGUCGUCGCCGCUGUGGGUGUUGGUGAACGGGCACAUCUGGUCUGCCUCAGAUGGGGCGGAGGAUGAGGGGGUGUUGCCAUCGCCAUUGGCUGCGGUCACAGGGAGCAUUUAGAAUGUGCUGCCGGAAACGAUAGUGGUCGGCACUGGUGGCGUCAUAACCCACAUGGCGGUAGGCGGCAUCAUAUUAGCAUGCCCUCAUUAAGCUUCCCGGAGAUUGGCCGGUGGCCACCAACGCACAAUGGAAGGAAUAAAUUGCGGAUUUUGAUUGCGGGACCGACAGAGUUGAGCCGCUGCUUACGAGAGAGAUGUUUAGGCAUGAGAAAUUGGCAUGAAUUGUGUCGGUACCAGUGGCAACUAUAAUUUUGGGGUGGGGUUGGUGAAAUGACAAAAAUGUCCUUCAAGUUGAAGGAGAUAUGAAAAAACGGUGAAAAUACUCCGGAAAGUCUCAUUUGGAAGGGGAGAAUUACAUUUUUGAAUUUGUAGGGAGAAAAGUGCGAAAACUAAAAAUUUCUAGGGGUAGAAGUGCAAUUUUGUCAUAAAAACAAAGUAACAAAAUAAAAAUAAAAGAUUAUUCACACUGAACUACAAACAGUCUACUCUAUUCCUUUCAUUUCAUGCUUCCCAAAUUCCGAAUUAACAAAACCUGCUAAUAAAUGGCUUCGAUUGUCGAGAUUCAAAAAUACAACUGUUAAAGGCUAACGGAAUCUAUCCUGCUGCGGCGACGAGGCCAGGUCGUUCCUUGUCAACCCCGGCGAUCCCUCCGACUACAGCGGCCUCCUGAACAGAUGCUACGUCGUCGUUUCUGUAAACGCACCUCCCCUCCGCGUCUUCGAUCCUCACUGCCGGUGGCCGCAGAGCGAGGUGCGUUCGUACUUUAUGCGAGGUUGCCCCCUUUUGCAAUUUUAGCGGGAAAACGAGAAACCCUCUUCUCCUCUCUUCCAUUUGAAUUUUAGUGUUUUUUGCGGGAAAAAAAAUGUGGACGACGGUGGGGCUGAUUUUCGCCCGGAAUGAAAAUUACUGAUUCUCUUGGAAACUGAAGUAUGGUUUGGAAUAACUGAUGUGGUGUGGAAACAAUAUUAACUAAUUAACGGUUGCACCAAAUAUGUUACUAUGAUUUGAUGAUCUCUCUGCAUUUGUUAUUACAAACUCAAGCGAUUCUAGCUAUUUUUUUUUUCAGAUUCGUUUAUUGUAACUUCAUGAGAAUCUAGGGAUGCUUUAGUAAUAAUGAUCCUUUCUUUGUUCUUCAGAUUGUCAGAAGAUCCAUUGAAAUGAUACUGAGUGAAGAACCUGCGUCUUCAAAUUUGAUCUGCUGCGAUUACGAUGAAGUCAGUAUUCUACAUACCGUUUGCUUGUUGAGAUUCAUUAAUCAUGUGUUUGAAUUUCAUCUUUUCGGAAUUCAUCUCUCUCUCUCUCUCUCUCUCUCUCUCUCUCUCUCUCUCUCUCUCUCUCUCUCUCUCUCUCUCUCUCUCUCUCUCUCUCUCUCUCUCUCUCUCUCUCUCUCUCUCUCUCUCUCUCUCGAGCUGCAAAUUUAUGACAUAGUUUGUAGAUAAAUCUCUAUCUCUCUCUCUCUCUCUCACACACAUAAGAAUGUGAAUUGAUGAGCUGGCAGGACACUCGCUCGAGUGAUGUGGUUGAUAUCCUAACUUCCUCAAUUUGGACACUCCUUCUAAAGAGAGUAAGUAACCGAGACGGCUUAUGUUAAUACUAUUUAGCUUUGAGUAGUACGUGCACAUUGAAAAUGAUUAGGCAACAACGACAAAUUUUUUUCAGGUCGGCGAUAUUCUGAUGGUGUAUUUGUUAAAGUACACUUCAAUAUUUCUGCCUCUGCCUCGAAUGAAGCACCGUCAGAUUACCGGUGACCCCAUCAACAACCUCGUCCCCUCGGUGGGGUUGCCUUUCUCUAAAUCUCAGCAUCGUCCAGUUGCGCAAAAUGGUAACUUUAUCGAACAUUGCAAUUUUUUAUUUAUUUUUUCAUAAUUUCUGAUAUUCGAAAUACAUCAAGCUAAGUUCUCUUGGAACGUAACAUGGCAUUUACAUUGUUUAACAAUGAAUGUUGGGAGUCAUUAUUAAACUACGUACAGUAGAACCUCGUUAAAUUAAUAACCUCGCUUAAUUGAUAAAUUCUUCCGAUCCCAACUCGGUGAGAACAUGCUAAAUUGUUAACUCGGUAAUUUAAUAUUUCGCUAAGUUAAUAGAAUUUCACUAGUCUCGACUCCCGAGACUGUAUUACUUUAUAGAGGUUUAACUGUACAUGUCAUAUACAUUUUAUAAAGGUGCGUGAAUAAGAUGUGACGACCUAAUUGCAAUUAGUGGUUUAUAUGUAUGUGGAGCGUAUAUUUUCAUAAGGUUUAUUCUCUUUAACUUCUUUCAGGAUCUGCGAAGAAGAGGAAAAGGGUCGAAAGGGUUAAGCCGAUACCAGUGAAGAAGCUUUGCACAUCGUCAAACUGUGUUGAGUCAACCGCAGAUAAUGGUAAGGUUGACUUAAUUUGAAGAGUCUGAUACUACUAACUAAGAUACGACUUUCAGAAAACAAUCGUCUGAUACAGUUGGAACGUCUGCAGGAUCUAGUUGUCUUUCUAGUGAAGAACUUUCUCCUAGAAAACGUGAAGAAAGUACAUAGCAAAAUACUGUUUCAUCUCGCAUAAGAAAGCGUAAACGAGAUUUUUGCUGGCACCGCGGACUAAAACGUAGGCAGUUGGUUGUUCGAGGAACACAUUCUUUGAUCCCAUGUAGAGUAAAUAGUCGCGAUAUUGAGCGUCAAAAUGGCAUCUGCACAAGUUCUGUUAGAGUAGGUGACCAACAAGCCAACUUGUGGCUAUGGUCUUUCUCUUUUUCCUUGUAAUAAAACAAUCGUUUUUCGUUUGUAAUAAUAAAACAUUUCAUUUGGCAUUCUAUAUCUCUUAUCCCAUGCAAGCAACAUAGAUAUAGUCCUAACGAGUUACUCUAUUACUGUGAGUUGAUCUAGUAGAAUCGUGAGAUAACUCAGCAAUGUAAUGUAACUGUUAAACCUUGUUCCUAGUCGAUGGGUUACGCCAAUAAUGAGGAUACCGGCCUUUCCCGUUUGAGACUAGCACUUAGUGUAUGUGUACUGCGUCUCAUCAGUCCUUGGUGUUGUGACAUCGGCAUACUUGAGUGGGUGCUCAUACUAGAUGAGUUCACUGAACUCCCUCGCCCUAGAAAUCUAUAAGUGGUUCUCAUUCAUCGAGUAAUAGGUUUCUAAGAUAUAGUUGUACACCAUUAGUCCUUAAGACCCAGACAUCACCGUGACUUCACUAGAGGACCGAUUGUAUCCUGACCUGUCCCUGAGUCCCACAACGGACCGCUCCAAGGGCCAACGCUCGUGCAAUCCGAAAUCUAGUGUGAAGUCUGUGCAUUGUAGUAGGGGAUUCGAGCGCUUGAGUAGUCAUGGAUGUCCUGUACAUGUGUGUUAUGACGGUUUAUAAUCCAACGAAGCUCUGGCCAGACUUGAUAGUGGGGUGAUUAGGGAAAUGUGUUUCCCUAAGUCGCACACGAAUGGAUUUAUAAUACCUAGAACGUUCGGACGGUUAUUGAACUUUAUAAGAGGUCUCGGUGAACCAAUGCAUCUAGUUCAAUCGGGACAUGUGCUGCGAAGGGAUCGUACUGUACGCUAACUAUAUCAUAAGGUUCUUGCAGGCACUUCACUUGUAUCUAGGGAAUCAUGAUGCGUAGUUGCUAGACGCCAAUCUUGAUUCGUUGGGCACCGAUUUGAUCGGGGAUUAGGUAAAAUGAGUUUUACUCUAAUCGGGACUCUUGGGAGGAGUUUGUAUAAGAACAAUGUGUUGUUCGAAUCACAAAGAGUUGUGAGCCCACGGCUAGCAUACACCUGAACCAUUGAGGGUCACACUUCUCGUGUAAUAUAGAUCCUUGAUAACAACAAGCAUAGAUUAAUGUGUUAAUCUUUGAACGAUUGGAUGUCGAUAUGAUUGAAUCCAAGAUUCGUAGUUGUGGAUUGCGAAUCGGAAUAAACGUAGAGAAAGAGAGACAUGCGGAUUUUAGUGAACUUUCUAAAUUGGGAAGUUUCCCGAUUUAGCAAGUCCACUGAAGUGGAAGUUUCCAAUUUUGGAAAUUGGAAAUUUCGAAGAGGCACUCGUAUCGACGAGGACUUUGAGCUCGUCACAAAUAUAAUUUUGUGAACGAUCGUUUAUUAGAAACGAGGGCGACGAGGGAAUGGGCUUAAUACAUCAGUGGGUCAAGCCCAAUGACUUAAACCCACUAUGGUUGAAAACCCUAAGUAUAUAUAGAUCUCAAACAAGAGUUUGAGAUCAGAUUUUCUGCACCAAACCCUAGCCGCUCAUCCCUUCGGCCGUUGCUGCCCCGCCGCGCCACCGCCGAUCACCGCCGGUUUUCUCCUCGCUUCUUCUUCGUUUACUUGUUGUUUAUCUAACUCGUUUACAUCUAGUGCUGUAGUUCGAGUGGGUCGAAAAUACGAGGUGAAACCUAAUUGGAGAGGAGCUGCUGCCCCGACGAAUCCACGCACCGCCGCUGCACCGCCGCACGCGCCGCUACGCCGCCCACGCGCCGCCGCUACUGCUGCCACGUACCGCCGCUGCUGCUGCCACACACCGCCGUUCGUUGCUUGCUGGAUCAGCUUGUUCCAGCCGUGAGUUGCAACCCCGAGGAUUGGUAAUUUGCAGCUUGUACGUGAUUGGUUCUAGGUUUCGAUUCGUCGAAAUCUCACGCUACAAGAGGUAAAUAAAUCGAAACUUUCGUAAAUUAAUUCGAGCAUGUUUGUAUGAAUUAUAAUUUAUGAUUAUGAGUAAUAUGUUAUUACGUGUUUCGAUUUUAUUGAAUGAUGAACAAGCAUGUUUCGUAAUUUUCGGUUUUACGUGUUUUUCAAUUAAAUCGAUAAUUACCAUAUGUAUGGCGGAAGCGUUAAGGUACGUUGACUAUGUGAUUAGUUUAUGCAUGUAAUGUAGCACCCCCCUUAAAGACGGGCGAUAAAUCGAACCGGUUUAUCGGAAUAUUUAUUAAAAUAGCGGAAGCAAAGGAUCUCUUUGUAAAUAUUGAAACAUUGGGAUGGGGCGAAAAUGCAAUUAAAAAAAUAUCUUCUUUUGGGUAUUGAAGGCUUUGCAUUUUCAAAAGAAAACUUUGUUGGGUUACUUUGGCCGAAUAAAAGCUUCGUUUGGAAAUAAGUUUCGAGGGGAGGUUUCUCAUUCGAGUGCUACAUUCUCACUAAUCAUUUUUCGGUUCGAGAAGAAAUCAGAGUUCAAAAAGGUUAUUUUGGUGAAUAAUUCGAAAAUUCCUAGCGAAGGCAUGAAAAUAGUAAAUUGCGAAACUUACUAUAUUAAAGUAGGAAUUAAGUACGAGUCAUAACGAAAAUGAGUUCAAAAGUACGAAAAGAAAAUGUUACGGUUUUAGGUUACACCACCAAAAGAAAAUAACCAAAAGUCUAGCAUCGUUCAUAGGUCCUCGUACGUCUUCCAAAACUCCGGGCAAGACCUCGAUCCACUACUCGAUCCAUCCCGGUUGAGGAUUACUACUACCUGCAAUUAAAAGACAUCCAUAUGAGCUAUAAAGCUCAGUAAGAAAUCCGAGUAAUACCGAACUUUGGAAAUACGUUAUACAUAAUAUAUAAUAUUGUAUACCCGUUCUUACCCACGUUUCGCACAACAACACAAGGCAAUCGGUCACAUCACAUAUCUCACGAAAACACAUCAUUUCACAAAAUCACGUAAUCAUGCAAAAUGACUAAAAUGCCCUUUUUGUAAAAAUCAUGAAAAACAUAUUUUUCAGUUUAUCGGAUCCGUGAAAGAUUAAUUUCUGUACCGGGUAAUAAACCUGUUACGAGCCCGUUUUCACUAAGUGGAAUCAAACCACUACCACAUCAUCCUAGUUGGAUACCGGCCCACUAUAUCCGAGGUGUUUAUUAUCCGAUAUUCCAUUAAUCCUUCAAAUAAAAAUCAUUUUAAUGCAACUUUUCGAAAUAAUGCUAUAACCCACACAUGACAUCACAAAUAUCAAUCAAGUGCCACAAAUCUCACAAAUAUCACAAUUUACCACACAUUUAUGAUUUGGGCAAAAAUCCCAAAUUCACACACAUAAACACACAACCACACACGGCACACACACCCUGCACAAUCAGCACCCACACAUUCACACAUUUUUAGCACACACACAUGCACAAUCAACACAUUAAACCUCACUAAUUACUCAUCAAAGCAAGCUCAAGAACAAAUACCUUUUUACCUUCGUUUAAUGGACUUAUUACCACAUCUAGGUAAUAAUCCAUUUCAAUCAAUAUCCCACAGCCAUUUAACACAUCCAACAGUAAUUAAAGUACCAAAAUACCAAAAUUCAUCACUCAUCACCAUGAAAUCAAGAACAUAAACAUUAAAGCACAAAACAUGUUAAAUGGUAUGCAAAUUGUCCUAAUUUCGAAAUAUUAGCAAACUAAUUCCAACAAUUCUCAAAUUAAAUCCUAGAACUCCUAACUGACCUAAAAUUCAGAUUCUGAAAUUAAUUUAAAUUUUCACCAAGUUUCGAAUUUUCUUGAAAUUAAAAACUAGGAAAAUCCCUUUUUCAAUUUAAAAAUCCAAAACUCUAACAUAACUCUAAUUAAUUUAAAAACUUGUUAAACAAAACUUUUUCCUAUCUAAUACUUGCUGAAAAACAGAUCCAAACUUUAAAAAAGAGAGAUUUUUUGGAAAUUGCAGUUUUGACCCAAAAGUUUCGAAAUUUACACAUGCAACCACACUAGAAGUUCAAAAUCAACUUUUUUAUGAAAAUCCAUAACAAAUCUGAAAUUCCACUUUACUAAAUGCAGAAAGUGAAGUUGAAAAGUUGUUUUAUGCAAAAAUUUCGGAAAUUGCACAAUUUACCCCAAGAUCUCUAGAUCUACACAUGCAAGUCUACUAAAAUUUCAAAAUCAACUUUUUCUUACAAAAAUUCUUUAAAUCCGAAAAUUUUGUUCAAUAAAUGCUGGAAAACAGUUUUGAAAACAUUUUUCGGACAGACUUUACAAAAAUUACAGAUUUGGCCCAAACUUUCGAAGAUCUACACAUGCAACCACAAAAAGUUAAAAUUCAUUUUUUCCUUGAAAACCCCUUUUUGAAAUCUAAAAAUUUUAAUGCUUUUGACCAAUAAAAGUUGUAUCUAGCCACUAUCAACAUAGAUGAUGCAUGCAAGAACAAGAAUUUUACAAGAAACACUCAUUUUCCAUUUUUCUUCAAAAAGCCCUAAAUUUACGAAAUCUUCCCCAAUCUUUUAAAAUUUCAUGAAAAUCAUUUCAAUACUAUUGAUGUCCCUUAAUUGCAGCAAGAAAUCGAGUUUCUUACCUUACAAUCGAAGAAAGAAAAUAGCCGAAAGGGAGGGGGCUUUCAAGCACCAAAAUCCAACCAAGCCACCUUGAUUGUGAAGGAAAUGGUGUGAGCUUCAAGGAGGAAGGAGUUGUGAUCUCCCGUAAGGAGGCAAGUGGUUUUGAUGGUAUUUUUGGAGUAGUCUAUGGCAAGAGUUAAAUAAGGAACUCUCAUUUUUAUGUUGGGAAUUUUUUGAAAAUGUGAAGUGAGGUGGAGAGAGGAGAGCCGAUGAUGGUGGUGAUGGUUUCGGUGGAGGAGGGAGAGGAAGACAAGUAAUGGUUGAGGUGUUGGAAGAAGAAAGAUGAAGGGUGUCUCUUCAUCUUACAAGGGGAGUGUUGAGUGUAGGUUUAGCUAAAAUGAUUAGGGGUUGCCAAGUGUAAUUGCAUGCUUAUUACUAAUUAUUUUAUUAAUAUAAAUACAACAACACCACACACACACAAUCCGAACACACACACCCAUUUCGGAUAUAUAUAUAUAUAUAUAUAUAAAUGUAUAAUGCAAGUAUUAACAUAUAUGUAUGUAUACGUUUGCAUGCAUGUAUGUACGUAUACAUAUAGGUAUAUAUAUAUAUUCCACAAAAUGUUCAAAUAAUUUAUCAAAUGAAUAAAAUACGCAAUUAUUCACAUAAACCACGUAAUUCACGAAAUUUCAUAGUAUUUCAAUUCACGGGAAUUUAAAUCAUAUAAAUCACAUAUAUAAUAGCGCACGUAAUCAUUCAUGUAAGGAACAUAAUUAAAUUCACGUAAUGCAUAUAAUUAAUAUCACGUAAUAAUAUUUCCUAAGGGAUCUCGAGUUAGAAAUAUUAAUCUCGGGUUAGAAAUAUUAAUCUCGGGUUUUAGGGUUUUCGGGUUUUGGAAAGGUGGGGUGUUACAUGUAAUCGAAACUAGUUCGAUCUAAAAUUUUUAAAUUCCGCUGCGUAUACAUGCACGAUCCCCAACAGUGGUAUCAGAGCCACGGGUUAAUCGUUUAUUUGUCAACGUGUUUAUCGUUUUCUAAAGCAUGCUUCGAUUUGUUGAAUUGUUGAAUUUUUGGUGUUAUCAAAUUGGGUGGUUUAAUAUUAAUUAAAUAUUUUGAAUACUUCAGAAAAUAUAAAAUUUUUAAUUUAGAAAAUUGGAUUUUUUUUUCUGCUGUUUUUCAGCUGACCGAACCGGUCCGGUCGGACCGGUCUGACCGGUCCGGUUAGCACAAAAAAAAAAAAAUAUUUGAUUUUCUGAUAUUAAUAUUAAAAUUAAUUGAUUUUUAAUUUUUGAAAUUAUUUAUCAAUUAAACCCAAUUAGAUAAUUGAUCCAUUAAUUUAAUUUGAAUUCAAAGAAUAGUGUUGGAUUAAUUAUUUAAUUUAAUCGUUAAAUUAGUUUAAUUAAUGGAACACAAAUUAAAUGGCAAAUAAUUAAUGGACUUCAUUCUUAUUUGAUUGAUUUAUGAAUGAAGGGAGUCCGUUAAUUAUAUUUUCAAUUAAUCGUAUUAAUUAAUUCAUGAGAUGAAUAAUUGUGAUUAAGUACGAUGAUGAUCGUAUGUCUCUCUUAGGAUCAAUAUGCGUUUCCACAUACCUAGAGAACAUUGUUGUAGGAAUCACAAACGUGUUAGAGUAGGUGACCAACAAGCCAACAUGUGGCUGUGGUCUUUCGUAUUUAUUAUUGUAAUAAACGAACCUUUAUUCGUAUUAAUGAUAAAACACCUUGGCAUUCUAUAUCUUUGUCCCUUUGUCACAAGCAUAGAUAUAGUACUUACAGUUAUUACAAGUACUAGUAAUUGAUCGUUAGGAUCGUGAGAUAUUUACUUAAGUAUUAUAACUGUUAAACGUGUUCCUAGUCGAAGGGUUACGCCACUAAUGAGGAUAUCGGCCUUUCCCAUUAAGACUAGCACUUAGUGUAUGUGUAUUGCAUCUCAUCAGUAAACGGUAUUGUGAUAUCGGCAUGCAUAAGUGGGUGCUCGUAAGUUGACGAGUUCACUGAACUCCCUCACCCUAGAAAUCUCUAAGUGGUUCCCAAUAAUCGAGUAGAGAUAUCUAUGGUAUAGUUGUACACCAUUAGUCCUUAUGACCUAGACAUCACCGUGACUUCACUAGAGGACCAGCUGUAUCGUGACCUGUCCCUGAGUUCCACCGAGGACCAUCCCAAGGGCCAGUGUUCGUGCAGUCCGAAAUCUAGUGGGAGGUCUGUGCAUUGUAGUCGGGGAUUCGAUCGCUAGAAUAGUCUUGGAUGUCCUGUGUGUUCUGAAAGUUUGUAAUCAUUCUAAGUCUCUGGCCAGAGCUGACUAAGUGAUGAUUAGAGAAUUCGAUUCUCUAAGUCAUGCACGUGACGAUUACAACACUUGGAACGAUCGCACCGUCAUCGAACAUAUAAAGAGGUCUCGAUGAACCAAUGCCUCUAGUUCGAUCGGGACAUAUGUAUCGAAGGGACCGUACUGUACGUUAACUAUAUCUGAAGGUUCUUGCAGGCACUUCAUUUGUAUCUAGGGAAUCAUGACGCGUAGUUGCUAGACGCCAAUCUUGAUUCGUUGGGUGAUUAAGGUGAAACGAGCUUCAUCUUAAUCGUAACUCGAAGGGGACGAGUUUUGACCACAAAGGGUUGUGGGCCCACGGCUAGCUUACACCUGAACCAUCGAGGGUCACACUGCUCGUGCACAUGAGAUCUUUGAAUAAACGGUCAGAGAUAAAAUAGUUUAUCUUUGCAUGAUUGGAAGUCAAUAUGAUUGAGUCCAACAUUCGUAAUUUGGAAUUAUGAAUGAGAAUCAGAAAAGGAAAAGAAUAGGCGAACGUGUUAGUGAACUUUCUAAAUCGGGAAGUUUCCAAAUUUAGAAAGUCCACUGAACUAGGGUUUCCACUUUUGGAAAGUUGGAAAAUAAGAGAUGGCACUCGUAAUGACGAGGAAGUUAUAAUGAUUCCGAAAAUGCAAUCGUUGCAAUUUUUCGGUCAUUGAAUUGAGAGAGACGAGCAAGUAAAGGAACUAACGAGCUUAAGCUGUUGGGCCCAGUCCAACUUAAGCCCGCUAGGGUUUUAUGCAAGGGACUAUAAAUACAUGAUUUAUAGACCUUGCACAAAUAUAACAAACCCUAACCCUAAAGCGGCCGUCCACCUCUCUCUCUCGCGCGGCCACCUCCGCCGUUGACUCCGCCCCGUCGCCGGAAUCGGCCAUCCCUUGGCCGAUCCCAUUCGGUAUUCUUUUCUUUCUCGUUUCUUCCGUUUUAUUCUAACUACUUCGUGUCUAGUGCCACGUUUUAGUAGAUCGAAGUAUACGAGGUGAAAUCCGAGAGGAGGAAGAUCGUAGAUCGAAGAACCGAGGAGCAACGCACGAGCCGAAGCCGCACGCUGCCCCACGCGCCGCCCGGAAGUUCGCGCGUGAAACUCACGCGCCGCCGUGACCUCACGCGCCGCUGCUGCCGCUGCACCGCUGCUGCCCCGAUUGUACGGAUUGGUUUCCGUAGCAAUCACGACGUGCUAAACGCUCCUACCUCACGCUUCAAGAGGUAAACACGCGAAACCCUAGUUUCGAUUCGAUUAUGUUUAAACUAUUAUUUCAUGUUUGUUUCGUAUGAUUUUAUGUGAUUAUGUGUAAUCGAUUAAAUCAUUGUAAGCAUGUUAUUUGGUUUAAACGCGAGCAUGUUAGUUGAUUUAAAUUCGAUUGAAUUUAUUAGCAUGUAUGUUGUUUUUUAAUUUCGCUGGAAGCGCAAAGGUACGCAAUUAAUUGAAUUUAAUUUAUCGGGCAUGUUCUUAUGUGUUUUAAAGUCGUUUGAAUCGCAUAAAUUUUUGUUUUCCGCUGCGUAUGCGUGCCCGAAACCCAACAAAACGAUCAUAACCUAAAACUUCCGAUGAGCUAAUAAGAUUUAAUAAAUAAAAUCCCUCAUUCUUAAUCAAGAAUUUUCAAUUAUCAAGCUAUAAAGAAAAACCAAAUUGUUGAAUUUUUCUUUCCUUCUACCAACAAUUAAAUUAUGUGUAGCCUCUCAUAAUAGUGUAGUAAGUCGUGUUAGCGGGGAGUGCUAUUGUGGGAUAAGCUGUAAUUUAAUUCACAUUAGAUGGAGAUACGGUGAUAGAUAAAAUUAUAUUGGAUUAAUGUGGUCGCCUAGAUUAACUAGGGAUUGCAUUAGUUUGAUAUAGUUGGAUCUGUGACAUCUCAUAUUGGUAGGCUAGACUUGACACACGAAGAUUUUGAUAUUCGCUAGAUUAACUUAGGUCAUUAUCAAGUGUGAGGUAAAUCGAACUUUAGGGUCACAUAGUGAUGUGAUUGAUAGUACUCUACCUUAGGCUUGUGUAAUCGGGAUAGAUUAACUACGGGUUACAUUAGCGCUAUUGGACCUAAAGCCCAUUAAAGAAAAAUAAGUUUUCUCGAUUGUCUGCUAGAGGGUGGUGGAAUUCGAUAAAAUUAGUAGGAGAACAAUUAAAACAUAAAAGUCCAAAAUUUUAAUUGUAACGAUUAUUACGAACUAAACUCUAAUUAUUGUCUUCUUAAAAUUUUCUCUGCAACAAUGUCCAAAAAUCCCUUUUCCUCUAUCCUCGACCAAAACAAACUCACCGGUCCAAGCUAUUUGAUUGGCUUCGCAAUCUGAAACUUGUGCUCCAAGUCGAGGAGCGUCUCUAUGUGCUCAAUGAACGCCCCCCCGCUGCUCUCCCUGCGACUGCUACUGCUGACGAGACUGCCACUUUCGAGGCAUGGAAGAAGGACGACCUCCAUGCGAGGUGCUACAUGCUAGCAUCCAUGGUGCCAGAGCUCGCGAGGAAGUAUGAGUCUCACGUACAUGCUUGCGAUAUCAAGCAUCAUCUUGAAAGCAUGUACAGUGAGAAUACUAGGGCAUCGAGGAACUCAGCUACCAAGGAGUUGAUCACCAUGAGGCUGCGUGAAGGGGCUUCGGUCCACGAGCACGGUCUCAAGAUGAUCACUCUCCUUGAGAAGUUGGUGAGCCUUGAUGUCACCCUCCCAGCCGAGCUCUCGGUGGAUUUGAUCCUACUGUCCCUUCCUAGUUCAUAUGAAUCGUUCAUAGUGAACUUCAACAUGAACAAGCUCGAUCCACCAUUGGAUGAGUUGUUAAACAUGUUGGUCAGCUAUGAGUCCACGAUCAAGAAGGAGAAAUCUGUUCUCCUAGUUGCUCCUUCUGCAAAGAAAGGUUCUUUACAGAAGAAAAGGAAAUAAAGGAGUUUCGGCCCGAGCAAGAAACUUGAGAAGGGCGAGUCGAGCGGAGUGAAGAAUGACAAGGUCACCAAACAAGUUGAUGACACUUGCCAUCAUUGUGGAAAGAAGGGCCAUUGGCGACGCAACUGCAAGGCUUACCUCGAUCAGAAACGUUCUGAAAAGGGUACGUAUUUAAUAGAAGUUAAUUUGUCCGUUAAAUCUUCUUCUUGGGUAUUGGAUACUGGUUGUGGCUCACAUCUUUGUAAUGAUUUGCAGCUCAUGACAAGAAGUAGGCGGCUUAAUGUGGGUGAGACCUACCUAAGAAUGGGCAACGGAGCAAGGGUUGCUGCUGAAGCCAUUGGGACAAUUUAUCUUUCUGUUUUGGAUUCUAGUUUUUCCAUUGUUUUGAACAAUUGUUUAUUUGUUUCGUCACUUAUUCGAAACCUUAUUUCUAUUCCUGUUUUGGAUAAUGAAGGUUUUACUUUUGUUUUUGGAAAUUCGAUUUGCAUUAUACAAAAGGAUCAAAAUAUGAUUUGUAAGGGACAACUUAUAAACAACUUAUAUGAACUAAAUCCAAAUGAAAUACCUAUUAACGUUAUAUCAGCAAAACGAAAAGAUAUAAGUCUUAACCCCGCACAACUUUGGCACGCUCGACUGGGUCACAUUUCCUUGAGAAGGGUGAACAAGUUUGUAAGUGAAGGAAUGUUCUCCUUGGAGGACGUGAAAUCACUUCAAACUUGUGUGUCCUGCCUUAAAGGAAAAAUGACCAAGACUCCCUUCAAAGGGAAGAUGGAACGAGCCGAGGGUCUUUUGGAUUUGAUCCAUUCAGACGUGUGUGGUCCACUAAGAGUUAGUGCUAGGGGUGGUUUUAACUACUUCGUUACCUUUACCGAUGAUUAUUCUAGGUAUGGUUUCGUGUACUUGAUGAAGUAUAAAUCUGAAACUUUUGAAAAGUUCAAAGAUUUUAGACACCAAGUAGAAAACCAACUCGGUAGAUGUAUUAAGAAACUACGAUCCGAUCGUGGUGGUGAAUACUUAAGUACUGAGUUUAUAGACUAUCUUAAAGAGAAUGGGAUUCUGUCUCAAUGGACUCCUCCUGGAACUCCUCAACUUAAUGGAGUUUCCGAAUGUCGGAAUCGAACACUGUUAGACAUGGUUCGAUCUAUGAUGGGGUUCACCAAGCUACCGGCAUACCUGUGGGGUCAUGCACUCCUAACUGUCGUGUAUUUGUUGAAUAGGGUUAAUACCAAAGCAGUUAACUCCACACCUUAUGAACUUUGGCACUCCAAGAAACCCACGUUUAAACAUAUUAGGAUAUGGAGUUGUCCCGCUUACGUGAAGCGGCUAGUGGGAGAUAAGUCGGAUAGAAAAUCCGACUUAUGCUAUUUUGUGGGGUAUCCCGAGGAUUCCAUGGGAUACGAAUUCUACUAUGUUUCCGAGGCAAAGGUGUUCGUCUCGUGAAAUGCCGUGUUCCUUGAGAAGGAAUUUCUAUCGGAUAGAAAGGGCAGUGUAGUUGAUCUCGAAGAAGUUCGAGAACCACAAUCUGAAGUUCAAGCACAACAAUCAGAAAAUGAACCAAUUCAACAAACCACUAAUAUACCUCCUGAACCGUCGCUGCGUAGAUCCGAAAGAGUUCGGAGAGCGCCCGAUAGGUUAUUCCUCAUUGAUGAAGUUGACCAAGGAUGUGAUCCCAGAACUUUCAACGAAGCUGUAUCGGAUACAGACAAGGGACAUUGGCUAAAUGCCAUGAAAUCCGAAAUGGACUCUAUGUACUCCAACAAGGUAUGGACCUUGGUAGAUCCACCCGAGGGAAUCGUUCCCAUAGGCUGCAAGUGGAUCUAUAAGAAGAAAAUUGGAGUAGAUGGAAAGGUAUCGACCUACAAGGCUAGAUUGGCAGCGAAGGGUUAUACUCAAAAGCAAGGAGUUGACUAUGAGGAAACCUUCUCACCAGUUGCUAUGCUCAAGUACAUUAGGAUUUUGCUGGCCAUCUCUGCGUGGUAUGACUACGAGAUAUGGCAAAUGGAUGUGAAGACCGCUUUCCUUAAUGGGGACAUUGAGGAAGAAAUUUACAUGGCGCAGCCGGAAGGCUUCAUAUCUUCUGGAGAUGAGCAAAAGGUUUGCAAACUCCAGCGAUCCAUUUAUGGAUUGAAACAAGCAUCCCGUAGUUGGAACAAAAGGUUCGACACAACUAUCAAACAGUUUGAAUUUGUGAAAAACCCGGAGGAACCUUGUGUCUACAAGAAGGUUAGUGGGAGUGCAGUGCCUUUCCUUGUACUUUAUGUUGAUGACAUACUACUCAUUGGGAAUGAUGUAGGGAUGUUGCAGUCAACUAAAGUAUGGUUAUCCACACGUUUCUCAAUGAAGGAUUUGGGAGAAGCAUCCUACGUAUUGGGAAUACGGAUCUAUAGAGAUAGAUCGAGGAGAUUGAUUGGCUUGUCCCAAUCCAUGUACAUAGACACCAUUCUUAAACGGUUUAGCAUGGAAGAAUCCAAGAAGGGAUUCUUGCCAAUGUCCCAUGGGGUUUAUCUCUCGAAAUCCAUGCGUCCUCAAACGCAAUUGGAAAUCGAGGAUAUGAAAAGGACACCUUAUAUGCAUCCGCUAUAGGAAGAAUAAUGUAUGGCAUGCUGUGUACACGACCUGAUAUUGCGUAUGCUGUGAGCGUCACAAGCAGAUUUCAGUCCGACCCCGGCCCAGCCCAUUGGAAGGCUGUGAAGGACAUUCUCAAGUACUUGCGAAGAACUCGAGAUUUGUUUUUGGUCUAUGGGGAUACCGAGUUGAAAUUAGAAGGCUACACGGAUUCUAGUUUUCAAUCGGACGUGGAUGACUCGAAGUCAAACUCGGGGUAUAUAUUUAAAGUCAACGGGGGCGCCGUGUGUUGGAAGAGUUCCAAACAAGGCACGACGGCUGAUUACACCACCGAGGCUGAAUAUAUUGCAGCAUCAGAUGCUUCAAAGGAAGGGUCAUGGAUUAGGAAAUUCAUCCAAGAGUUGGGUGUAUUUCCAAACGCUAGCGAUCCAGUACGGCUGCACUGCGAUAACAACGGAGCCAUAGCGCAAGCUAAGGAACCAAGAGCUCAUCAGAAGUCGAAACACGUUUUGAGAAAAUACCAUGUGAUCUGAGAGAUCAUAGAGAGAGGUAAAGUCAAGCUCGACAGAGUCACCUCGGAGGACAAUAUUGCAGAUCCCUUCACCAAGCCAUUGUCAGGAUCAGUCCACGAGAAACAUCGAGAGUCGAUGGGACUUAGAUUUAUGAGUAGUUGGCUUUAGGUCAAGUGGGAGAUUGUUAGAGUAGGUGACCAACAAGCCAACUUGUGGCUAUGGUCUUUCUCCUUUUCCUUGUAAUAAAACAAUCGUUUUUCGUUCGUAAUAAUAAAACAUUUCAUUUGGCAUUCUAUAUCUCUUAUCCCAUGCAAGCAACAUAGAUAUAGUCCUAACGAGUUACUCUAUUACUGUGAGUUGAUCUAGUAGAAUCGUGAGAUAACUCAGCAAUGUAAUGUAACUGUUAAACCUUGUUCCAAGUCGAUGGGUUACGCCAAUAAUGAGGAUACCGGCCUUUCCCGUUUGAGACUAGCACUUAGUGUAUAUGUACUGCGUCUCAUCAGUCCUCGGUGUUGUGACAUCGGCAUACUUGAGUGGGUGCUCAUAUUAGAUGAGUUCACUGAACUCCCUCGCCCUAGAAAUCUAUAAGUGGUUCUCAUUCAUCGAGUAAUAGGUUUCUAAGAUAUAGUUGUACACCAUUAGUCCUUAAGACCCAGACAUCACCGUGACUUCACUAGAGGACCGAUUGUAUCGUGACCUGUCCAUGAGUCCCACAACGGACCGCUCCAAGGGCCAACGUUCGUGCAAUCCGAAAUCUAGUGUGAAGUCUGUGCAUUGUAGUAGGGGAUUCGAGCUCUUGAGUAGUCAUGGAUGUCCUGUGUGUUCUGACGGUUUAUAAUCCAAGGAAUCUCUGGCCAGAGUUGAUAGUGGGGUGAUUAGGGAAAUGUGUUUCCCUAAGUCGCACACGAAUGGAUUUAUAAUACCUAGAACGUUCGCACGGUUAUUGAACUUUAUAAGAGGUCUCGGUGAACCAAUGCCUCUAGUUCAAUCGGGACAUGUGCUGCGAAGGGAUCGUACUGUACGCUAACUAUAUCAUAAGGUUCUUGCAGGCACUUCACUUGUAUCUAGGGAAUCAUGAUGCGUAGUUGCUAGACGCCAAUCUUGAUUCGUUGGGCACCGAUUUGAUCGGGGAUUAGGUAAAAUGAGUUUUACUCUAAUCGGGACUCUUGGGAGAAGUUCGUAUAUGAACAAUGUGUUGUUCGAAUCACAAAGCGUUGUGAGCCCACAGCUAGCAUACACCUGAACCAUUGAGGGUCACACUUCUCGUGUAUUAUAGAUCCUUGAUAACAACAAGCAUAGAUUAAUGUGUUAAUCUUUGAACGAUUGGAUGUCGAUAUGAUUGAAUCCAAGAUUCGUAAUUGUGGAUUGCGAAUCGGAAUAAACGUAGAGAAAGAGAGACAUGCGGAUUUUAGUGAACUUUCUAAAUUGGGAAGUUUCCCGAUUUAGCAAGUCCACUGAAGUGGAAGUUUCCAAUUUUGGAAAUUGGAAAUUUCGAAGAGGCACUCGUAUCGAUGAGGACUUUGAGCUCGUCAGAAAUGUAAUUUUGUUAUAUUUUUGUGAACGAUCGUUUAUUAGAAACGAGGCCGACGAGGGAAUGGGCUUAAUACAUCAGUGGGUCAAGCCCAAUGACUUAAACCCACUAGGGUUGAAAACCCUAAGUAUAAAUCGAUCUCAAACAAGAGUUUGAGAUCAGAUUUUAUGCACCAAACCCUAGCCGCCCAAGCCCUAGCCGCUCAUCCCUUCGGCCGUUGCUGCCCCGCCGCGCCACCGCCGAUCACCGCCGGUUUUCUCCUCUCUUCUCCUUCGUUUACUUGUUGUUUAUCUAACUCGUUUACAUCUAGUGCUGUAGUUCGAGUGGGUCGAAAAUACGAGGUGAAACCUAAUUGGAGAGGAGCUGCUGCCCCGACGAAUCCACGCACCGCCGCUGCACCGCCCACGCGCCGCUACGCCGCCCACGCGCCGCCGCUGCUGCUGCCACGUACCGCCGCUGCUGCUGCCACACACCGUCGUUCGUCGCUUGCUGGAUCAGCUUGUUCCAGCCGUGAGUUGCAGCCCUCAGGAUUGGUAAUUUGCAGCUUGUACGUGAUUGGUUCUAGGUUUCGAUUCGUCGAAAUCUCACGCUACAAGAGGUAAAUAAAUCGAAACUUUCGUAAAUUAAUUCGAGCAUGUUUAUAUGAAUUAAAAUUUAUGAUUAUGAGUAAUAUGUGAUUACGUGUUUCGAUUUUAUUGAAUGAUGAACAAGCAUGUUUCAUAAUUUUCGGUUUUAUGUGUUUUUCAAUUAAAUCGAUAAUUACCAUAUGUAUGGCGGAAGCGUUAAGGUACGUUGACUAUGUGAUUAGUUUAUGCAUGUAAUGGAAACUAGUUCGAUCUAAAAAAUUUAAAUUCCGUUGCGUAUACAUGCACGAUCCCCAACAAGUUCGACAAGCUACGAGAGUGUAAGUAUCUCGGUACUUAUGUUUGACAAAUUUGUAGAAAUUAAUCGUCUGAUAGUUCUCGAGAGACGAGCCAGUUCCCCAUCGAGCAUCUUCAACUCUGCGCCCUGCGGGAAUAAGUCUUUUACUUAAUUGAACACUUCUAGAUAAAAAUUAGUAAUCGUCCACCAAGUUUUCUAGUUUACCGUUGUUUUUUCGUCGUUCUGUUUUUUUCUGUAAUAACUAUGCAUUGCUUAGUUAUAUGCUCUUUUGAAACCCUGGAAUCAAGAUAAGAUACAUUAUUUUAUGCAAAUAUUAUUUAUGUCGUCCAUUUUGGCUACUCGUUGUUUAUUUCGUUUUCUGCCUAUAUAACAUUGAUUUUCGGGUUUUCGGUUUUUUUGCAGAAAAUUUCUCAUUGCUUCUGUUGUUCCGUCUUCCAAGAGGCACCAAAGAUGAAUAGAAAUGCCGAGAUUGAUAGAUGGGACGUAUUCUAUAAGAUCGAUAAGUCGACAUCAAUGUUUCCAAAGAAUCGUAUCCUUGGUACCUAUUUGUUUUUGCUUAUCCAACCGGGGUUUUACUCUGAUGAACUGUAUCUUUUAUCCUUUACCAGAUAUCGAGAAAAGUAAUUGUUAUUAUGUGACUCAUAUCCACGUGUACAUGCCAAGUGGAUACUUUAUCUGGGUCAGCAGUUAGAGUAAAGCCAAAAGGAUGAGCUGGAAAGUGUAAGGAGCUGUUACACUAGAAGACAGAAUCCGUGAGGACCACUCUGACAGUGGUGGACACCUGUCGAGCUCUCAGUGGGUUGCUUGGGGACCAAGUUUGCUUUUUGCUAGGGUUUGCUGCAUAUAUAAAACACUUGGUGGAUGAGGCUUGGAGGCUAAGGCUAAUCAAGGGGAUAAGGCUUGAAGGGCUGGAAACUCAAGAACAAAAGGAAUAAGCUAGAGGGAAAGCAAGAAAGAAAUCUCCACAGGUUUUGUGAGAUUUGGGGUUGGGAAACAAGAGAGAAAUAGUGAGGUAUACACAUGGGAGUGUCAAUACAGCUUAGGUGAAAUAGCUGUUGAGAGCUUGAGUGUUUUCACUAUCUUGUAAUCUGUCACCUUCUUGAUCUAGUGGAUUUUGUUCUCUCUGCACAUUGGAUGUAGGCCUGUGGUGAUACAGGUCAAACCACUUUAAAUAUUGUGUUCUUUAUCUAUUCUAUAGCUUUCAGUUUUAGAUAUGUGGUAGCUGAAGUUGUAUUAUCUGCAACGGUGUCAACAGUCGGUUGAGUCAACACAGUGGUAUCUGUGUGUUCUUUCUUGGCUUGAUUUUGAUUUUGUGUGGCUUGUUAUUGUUUGUGGGUCUGAAUCCACAACAAUUGGCGCCGUCUGUGGGAAGAUCUGAGCACACAGUAUGGGAUCUACCAAGUUUGAGGUGGAGAAGUUCUCGGGAUCUAGUGAUUUUGGUCUUUCGAUGGUGAAGAUAAGAGCCAUGUUGGUGCAGCAGGGGUUGAUAGAUGCUUUGAAGGGUGCCAAAGAACUUUCGGAUUCCUUGUCAGAAAAGGAGAAGAAUGACUUGAUGGAUAGAGCUCACAGCUCAGCUCGAUCAUCUUGAGCCUUGGCGAUAAGGCUCUGAGGGAAGUAGCUAGAGAGACCACUGCACAAGGCGUUUGGUUGAAGUUGGAACAACUGUAUAUGACCAAAUCUCUCACAAACAGACUCUACUUGAAACAAUGAGUGUAUUCCUUCAAGAUGAGUGAUGACAAGCCUCUGUCAGAACAGAUAGAUGAGUUCAACAAGAUUCUGGAUGACCUUGAGAAUAUUGAGGUGAAGCUUGAAGAUGAAGAUAAAGCUCUGAUGCUACUCAAUGCUAUUCCAAAGUCUUAUGAGCAUUUCAAGGAUGCAUUGGUGUAUGGGAGGGAACAAACCAUAUCACUGGAAGAGGUGCAAUCUGCAAUCAAGGCUAAAGAAUUGUAGAAGAAACUUGAAGGGAAAGCUCAUGAAUCUGGAGAGGGACUCAGUGUUAGGGGCAGAUCUGAGAAGAGAUAAUUCAUGGACAAGAAACUGAAGUACAAAUCUAAGUCAGUAAAGGGCAAGAAGACUCCGGUAAAAAAAGGGUGAAUGGAAGUGUUAUAGGUGCAAGAAACCUGGUCACUUCAAGAAGGAUUGCCCGGAGAAGAAAGCACAAGAUGAGAGGCAGAACAAUGGAGAAGCUGGUAUUAUAGCUGAGGAAUUUGAAUCCUAUGAUGUCAUUGCUGUCACUGAUGGUGAUGUCAAAAGAAGGAUUGGAUAUUGGAUUCAGGGUGUUCUUUUCACAUGACAUCAAAUAAGGACUGGUUUGAAACUCUCGAGUUAAAUGAGAGGGGUAUAGUCUUAUUGGGGAAUAAUGAUGCUUGCUAUGUGAAAGGGAUUGGUUCAGUAAGAAUCAAGAUGUUUGAUGGAAUUGAGAGGGUCUUACCGGAAGUGAGAUUUGUUCCUCAAGUCAAGAGGAACUUGAUAUCUCUUGGAGUCUUAGACAAGAGUGGCCACACGUUCAGUGGGGGCAAUGGCAUUAUGAAGGUGUCUAAGGGGUCUAUGGUUGUGAUGAAGGCAUACAGAAACAAUGGAAUAUACCAUAUGUUUGGACAGACGGUUAUUGGUAGUGUUUUUUAGUAUUGAAAACCACAAGGAUGAUAAGACUAAGCUCUGGCAUUUGAGGCUUGGUCAUAUCAGUGAGAGAGGUCUACAUGAAUUGUCUAAACAACUGUUGUUGGGACAGGACAAGGUAGAUAAGUUGGAGUUCUGUGAGUUAUGUGUUCUUGGAAAGGCUAAGAGGAUCAGUUUUGGUACUGGAUCACACACUUCAAAAGGGCCUUUGGAUUAUGUUCACAGUGACUUGUGGGGACCAGCUAGGACAGACACUCUUGGUGAUGGCAAGUAUUUUCUUUCAAUCAUAGAUGAUUACUCAAGGAGGCUGUGGACUUUUGUUCUGAAAUCGAAGGAUGAAACAUUUCAGAGGUUUAGGGAUUAGCUAGUGGAAGUGGAGAAUCAGUCAGGAAACAAACUGAAACAUGUGAGGACAGAUAAUGGCUUGGAAUUUGUUUCCGGUGAAUUCAAUGAUUUCUGCAAAACUAGGGGCAUCACAAGGCACAAGACAGUAGCACACACUCCUCAGCAAAAUGGAGUGGUUGAGAGAAUGAAUAAAACCAUUCUGGAGAGAGUAAGGUGCAUGCUUAUUGGUGCUGGUUUGCCAAAGAAGUUCUGGGGAGAAGCUGUGGCAACAGCAACAUAUCUCAUCAACAGAAGUCCCUCCACAACAAUUGAGUUCAAAACUCCAUAUGAGAAAUGGUAUGGUAAACCUCCUAAUUUCAGUAAUUUGAAGGUCUUUGGUUGUUUAGCCUAUGCCCAUGUUAAAGGUGAUAAACAAGAACCAAGAGCCCUCAAAUGUGCCUUCAUUGGUUAUCCAACCGGGGUUAAGGGGUUUAAGUUAUGGUGUCUGGAACCUGGUCAAGGGAAGUGUAUUGUGAGUAGGGAUGUAGUUUUUGAUGAAUCUAAGAUGGGAAAGAUGAUUGGAUAUCAGUCUACUCAAGGAACUUCAAGUAAUGGUACUCAGAUUGAGGUGGAGUUUCCAUAAGAGACCACAGUUGAGCAGGCUGUGACCACAGAUGGGCAGGAAGAAUCUGAUCACAGUGAAAGUUCUGAAUCAGAGGAGGAUCUGAAAGAUUACCAUUUGGUCAGAGAUAGAACCAGGAGGCAAAUUAAACCACCUACAAGAUUUGGACAAGCUGAUAUGAUUUCCUAUGCACUCAAUGUUGCUUCUGAGAUUGAAGAAGGUGAGCCAGCCACUUACCAGGAAGGAAUUAAUGGGAAGGAAAGGAGAAAGUGGAGUGAAGCUAUGAGGGAAGAGAUAGCUUCAUUGAAGAAGAAUGGGACUUGGUUCUUGGUGGAGAGACCAAGUGGGAAGAAGCCGGUGAGUUGUCGAUGGCUCUUCAAGAAGAAGGAGGGAAUCCCCGGGGUGGAGAAGCCUAGGUACAAGGCUAGAUUGGUUGCUAGGGGAUUCUCACAAGUGAAAGGGAUAGAUUUCAAUGAAAUUUUUUCACCGGUGGUUAAACAUUGCUCAAUCAUAAUCGUGUUCUCACUAGUAGCUCAGUAUGACCUUGAUUUGGAACAGAUGGAUGUGACAACAGCUUUCUUACAUGGUGACUUGGAGGAAAAGAUUCAUAUGGAUCAGCCAGAGGGAUUCAUUGAGGAAUCUAACCAAGACAAGGUCUGAUUGUUGAGGAAAGCACUGUAUGGACUUAAGCAAAGUCCAAGGCAGUGGUAUAAAAGAUUUGAUGACUUUGUGUUAUCAAUUGGUUUCGACAGAUGCAGUUAUGACUCUUGUGUAUAUGUAAGAAAAGCAAAAGGGAGAGUUAGAGCUUACUUGUUGCUGUAUGUGGAUGACAUGCUCAUUGCAAGCAAGUCCAAGGAGGAGAUAAAUGAUAUCAAGGAGAAGCUGAAAUCUGAGUUUGACAUGAAAGACUUGGGGUCUGCCAAGAUGAUCUUGGGAAUGAAUAUAUUGAGGAACAGAAGAAGUGGUUACUUGUUCCUAUCUCAACAGUCUUACAUUGAGAAGCUGUUGUUGAGAUACAACAUGCAUCAGUCCAAGGCAGUGUCUACUUCUAUGGGGCAGCAUUUCAGACACUGAUGAAGAGAAGAGGUACAUGGCAAAGGUGCCAUAUGCUAAUGCGGUUGGGAGCUUGAUGUAUUACAUGGUGUGCAGUCGGCUAGAUUUGGCACAUGCUGCAAGUGUGAUCAGCAGGUUUAUGGCUGAUCCAGGGCAGGUACACUGGGAAGCACUCAAGUGGACUUUGAGAUACAUGAAGGGAUCUGCUGAGAUUGGACUUCUAUUCAAGCGGAAUGAUAGAAUAGAAGCUGAUGCAUUGAAGGGUUUUGUGGACUCAGAUUAUGCUGGUAGUAUUGACACAAGGAAAUCCUUAACAGGAUAUGUGUUCACUCUGUUUGGGACUGCAGUGAGUUGGAAGUCAAUGUCUACUACGGAAGCUGAAUAUAUGGCAGUGACUGAGGCCGUCAAAGAAGCUAUAUGGAUGAUUGGGAUGGUUCAGGAGUUGGGGAUUGAGCAAAAGAAUGUGAAUGUGUACUGUGACAACCAGAGUGCAAUUCACUUGACAAAACAUCAAGUGUUUCAUGAGAGAUCUAAACACAUUGAUGUGAGACUGAACUUUGUGAGAAAUACUGUUUCUAAAGGUCGGAUCAAGGUGGAGAAGGUGCAUACAGAUGACAAUGCUGCUGAUAUGCUAACAAAAUCUUUACCGGUUUCGAAGUUCAAGUAUUGUAUGGACUUGGUGAGCUGUUGUAGGCAGUGCUAGCUUGGUAAGAAGCUAGGUGAGAGGGAAGAGAAGCCUACGUGGAGUAUGAGUCAAGGUGGAUAAUUGUUAUUAUGUGACUCAUAUCCACGUGUACAUGCCAAGUGGAUACUUUAUCUGGGUCAGCAGUUAGAGUAAAGCCAAAAGGAUGAGCUGGAAAGUGUAAGGAGCUGUUACACUAGAAGACAGAAUCCGUGAGGACCACUCUGACAGUGGUGGACACCUGUCGAGCUCUCAGUGGUUUGCUUGGGGACCAAGUUUGCUUUUUGCUAGGGUUUGCUGCAUAUAUAAAGCACUUGGUGGAUGAGGCUUGGAGGCUAAGGCUAAUCAAGGGGAUAAGGCUUGAAGGGCUGGAAACUCAAGAACAAAAGGAAUAAGCUAGAGGGAAAGCAAGAAGGAAAUCUCCACACGUUUUGUGAGAUUUGAGGUUGGGAAACAAGAGAGAAAUAGUGAGGUAUACACAGGGGAGUGUCAAUACAGCUUAGGAGAAAUAGCUGUUGAGAGCUUGAGUGUUUUCACUAUCUUGUAAUCUGUAACCUUCUUGAUCUAGUGGAUUUUGUUCUCUUUGCACAGUGGAUGUAGGCCUGUGGUGAUACAGGUCGAACCACUUUAAAUAUUGUGUUCUUUAUCUGUUCUAUAGCUUUCAGUUUUAGAUCUGUGGUAACUGUAGUUGUAUUAUCUGCAACGGUGUCAACAGUCGGUUGAGUCAACACAGUGGUAGGUAUCAGUGUGUUCUUUCUUGGCUUGAUUUUCAUUUUGUGUGGCUUAUUAUUGUUUGUGGGUCUGAAUCCACAACAGUUAUCAACACAAUACUUAACAUUAAACAGACAUACUGUAUACUUUAAAUCCCGAUGUUUCUGGUGCUUCUACUUUGUUCAACGACAUCUUCGGUGCGUUUGGCAUUGGCAAUAAUCCUGAAACUGUACCAUGUUGCAGCUGGGAAAAUAGUUCUCCUGCCACAUCCAACUGUUUGUAAGCAAAAGCUGUAUUUUAACGAAUAACAUUUUUCACCUCUCUUAUGUUAUAAUUAGCACUUGUCAACCAUAUGAAUGUAGCGGUUAAUAAAUAUAUUUUGCAGUUUAGCUGGCUAACGACUAUUGUAUUUCGAGGACCUAAAAUAAAAAAUAAAAACGAAAUUAUUUCCAUUAAAUGUUUGAUUUUGUCCCCCUCGUGAUUAUAGUUUAUAUAGUCAUGGUUUUAGUGGUUUUCUUUUGAGUCGUAAUUCAUCCGGUUGGCAACUGUAUGUUUGUUAUCUUUGUAGUUUGGCUCACUUGCAACUUUAUCCUGCUUCAGAAUCUCGUAACAACAAUUGACAUUUUUUUGCAUUUUAGAUAUCACACCGUUACUAAGUUUCUCGAAAGCCUCAUAGACAAUACUCACAAUUGCCUACAUCUGAGGCUGUUGGAUAAACACUGCCCAUCAGAUCCUCGUACCGAGAUGCAAGUGCGGUUUCUGGAGCUGGGUUCAAGGUCGGUAUUCAUUAGUGACUAUAGCAUUUUUUUCUGUCUUUAUUCUUGUAUGGUGUAGAAGUUUGGUUCUCUUGUUUCUUCAAUUUUUGAGAUAAAACAGAUAUACUUUAUAAGUUUUUCAAUGAACUUACCAUCUUUUUUCUUUAAUCCGAAAAAAAACAUAAUCAAAAAUAAAAAGUUUAAUAGGAUGGUUUCGUGCUUUUGAUUUCUCUAACAUUUGUGAGUUCAGAGAAAUGAUUCAGGGACAUACUUGUGUACGGGUGGACAAGUUGACACUCAAAACGAAGGAAACCUAGUACGUGUUAUUGUCGCAAGGAAGAUGUAGAAUCGUUUGUAUGGGCAAUUUGUAGGAGAAUCGUCCCUCCCAAACUGCUGGGAGAGCAUUCUAAUUGGAGGAUUCUAAGAACGAACAUCUUUAAGUUCAUUCGUCUCCGAAAAUUCGAAAAGUUCUCACUGAAGGAAUGUUUUCAUAACCUGAAAAUAUCGAAGUUUCCGUUAUUGCAUGAUAAUAUCCAUAAUGGCUGCAGUGUACUUGGUAUUACGGAUAUUGCCAGACACGUGAUUCUCGGAUGCUGGAUAUUUUGGUUUUUUAAAUGCCUCGUGUCGCCGUUGUUUCAAGCCAACUUCUACGUCAUCGAAAGUGAGUUUGAGAGAAACGAGGUUCUGUAUUACCGUAAAUCUACGUGGCGGAAACUGAUAAGAGAAGCUGAAUGCAUGAAGAACGAUACAUUUCGCCCUUUAAAUGUCUCGGCCGUUAGAAAAAUUUUAAAAAACCGAUCGCACGGUUUCUCACGAGUCAGACUUCUUCCCAAGAAAACUGGAUUUAGAAUGCUGGCGAAUCUUCAAGCAUCGUCAAAACUGCGUCUGAACUCAACCUCUUCUAAAUUUCAGUCCGAUGGUUCCGUAAACAAGGUCCUUAACGAUGUUCAAGUGGUUCUAAGAGGUUCGUUGACAAAAGAACGAGAGAAGUUCGGUUCGUCGGUUUUCGACUACAACGAUGUGUACAGAAAGCUCGUCCCUUUCUUGUCUCGUUUGAAGAAGAGAUGGUCGAAAAUGCCGAGGGUAUUCAUUGUGGUUUCUGACGUGUCGAAAGCUUUCGAUUCGGUGAAUCACGAUAAACUGCUUAGUGUGAUGGAGGAUGUCUUAUCGGACGAUGAAUACGCUCUCGAAAAGUUCACUCAGGUUUUCUGCACGAAGAAGGCGUUGAAGGUCCACCAUACUCUGGCACUAGCAGAUCAAGACUUCGUUACCGUAUCGUCUGGCAAAAUCAAAUCAAUUCCUCCUCCAAAGUCUUUGGAUGGCGUUCUCGUUAAUAAGGUAACCUUCGAAAUUCGAUAUUUCCUGCGUCAUUGAUCUUUUCAUUUGCUUGCACGUGGAACAAUAAUUUCGAUUUCUAUUAGCAAAAAAGUAAUUAUUUAUAUAUUUCGAUUUCUUUGAGAAAUGUUAUUUUUUAGUUUUUGAUAAUAAUUCCUCUAGUUAUGAUAAUAAUUCCUCCCCUAUGUACUGAUCAUUAAUUUAUUACAGAGUUUUGGUUCCGAAUUAUUACUUCAAAAUUGAUUGGUUUUAAUUUAGUUAUUGCAUAAAAAAUGAUUGCUGACAUCAAUAUCUUGUAUUGUUUCAUUAUGUAUGUCGUUUCAGGCACUCGACCGAACAAUACGAAAAGCAGACAUUAACACAACUCUGAAAGAGCACAUAAAACGCAACGUGGUGCGGCAAUCAGACAAGAAAUUCUACUUGCAGAAUGUUGGUAUACCUCAAGGUAGCGUUUUGUGUACUUUCCUCUGCUCGCUUUAUUACGGCCACAUGGAAAGGAACGUAGUCUACCCGUUUAUCGAGAAAGCUCGUGAGACCAAUGGUGCUUCAUCUUCGGCGGGGGGCAAAAAUGGAAAACAAAAGUUUGCAUGCGGUUGCGAAUAUAUUCUGCUUAGGUUCAUCGACGACUUCCUUUUCAUAUCGACUUCGGAGAAACAGGCUUCUAUGUACUUCUCCCGUGUGGACAGAGGGUUUCAUGAUUACAACUGCUAUAUGAAUAAGGACAAGUACGGUCUGAAUUUUAAAAUGAAAAACGGGCAAGAAUGCCGGUCAAGUAGUAGACCAUAUGUUGGCCGAGAUGGCGUCUCGUUUCUUCGUUGGAGUGGAGUGCUUGUCAAUUGCUCCACGUUAGAAAUUCAAGCGGACUACACAAGGUUGUUAUAUCUUCUUCCUUAAUUUCAUCGUCUUCUUGCAUGUUUCUUUCUUGUCUGAAUCAAAUAUUAAAUUCUUGAGCUGGCUUUAUAUAAUAAUGCUCGAAUUUUUGUCUUUGCAGGUAUCUCGAUUUUCAUUUGAGUUCAACUCUAACAGUGAGUCGUCAAGGUAAAGUAGGCGAACAGUUGAAAUCAAAGCUGCGUGCUCAUAUGUCGAACAAAUGCCAUCCUCUCUUCUACGAUUCCAACGUCAAUUCGCCAGAUGUCGUCAGGCUCAACAUCUACCAAAUCUUUCUUCUUUGUGCCAUCAAAUUCGUUUGCCAUCUCUCAAACCUCUCGAUUCUACCUAAAUUCACCCCGCAAUUCAUCACCAACGCCAUCGUCGCUUCUGUAAGGUACUAGAACAUCACAAUUUUUUCUUGCAGUUCUAAUCACAAAAAACACACAUCCAUGUGGGUGCGUGCAGAUGAAUAAAUUUUUAUUUUAUAUAUUUUUUUAAAUUUGUUUUUAUUUGAUCACAAAUGCAGGUGCACGAGCAAGUUCAUAGAGAAGAAGAUGUAUUCAUUUAGUGGAGUUGAUAUUGCUUUUCGUCCGAAAUAUGAAGUGAAAAGGGCGGAAGUUUUGUUUCUUGGACUAUAUGCGUAUAAUCGAGUGCUGGAGAAAAAGCAAACGAGAUACAAGAAUCUGAUUCCAUUUCUAAGGACAAAGUUGAAGGCAUGUGGGGAGAUAGCACACAUGUCAUCUGAGCUCAAGUAUGCUAUUCAUGACGAACAUUCAUCUGUUUUUUGGAGAAUCAAAUAUUGAUUUUUACUCCACUUUUUUGGGUUCGAGAAUUGAGAAUUCUCCUUUUGUUUUUAUUAAGUUGGUAAAAACUGUUGGUCGAAAACUAUUUUGAGGGGGCAUAUAGCUUUUGAAGCACAUGUACAAGUUGGGGAUGGAUUAUAUGAAUUUCUCGAUCAACCUCGUUCUCGCACAUGUAACCGUUUUCUUGCUUUAUUACUAAGGUGGUGUUUGCAAAUGCUUUUUGAAAGUGAUUAUGCGGUUUUUUUUGCUCAUAGGUGGUGUUUGCAAAUGCUUUUUGAAAGUGAUUAUGCGGUUUUUUUUGCUCAUAAUCUGUUUUUAGGUAUUUGCAAAAUCAACUUCUGCUUUUGCUUCUCUUAAAAUAAUCUGUUUUAAGCUAUUUUUUUAAAAGCACUCCUAACCCUGCUUUUUCAAUUUUAGUUCAUUUUCCGAAAUAUUUGCAAACACCCCCAACUUUUAGAAAUAAGCACUUAAAUCUAACUUAAAUCACAAUUACUAACUUCUGCUUUUAAAUAAUCAUUUGCAAACACCACCAUAAUCUGUUUUUAGGUGUUUGCAAAAUCAACUUUUGAUUUUGCUUCUCUUAAAAUAAUCUGCUUUAAGCUAUUUUUUUAAAAGCACCCCUAAUCCUGCUUUUUCAAUUUUAGUUCAUUUUCCGAAAUAUUUGCAAACACCCCUAACUUUUAGAAAUAAGCACUUAAAACUAACUUAAAUCACAAUCACUAACUUCUGCUUUUAAAUAAUCAUUUGCAAACACCACUUAACUGAUUUUGCAAGUCAAGUUUGGACUGAAUCGGGACAUUUUAAUUUGGUUUCGGAAUAUCGAUACACAAACGAAAUUCACUGGUUGUGGAAGAUUCAAUAUAUGAGUUUGAUUGUUGUUGGGGCUAAAUACCUAACACGCAAGUGCACGUAUCGCAAACAAGUAGUAAAAGUGGACUCGUGAGAGUCGGAUGUCGAUCCCACAGGGAAUACUCAAAUUACCUAAUCCUAAGUACCAAAUUCUAACAACUAUGAUUUUUAUCCAGCCUACGCAAAGUUAUCAAAUUUAAUCAACUAAAUAAUUAAACUAAUUAUGAAAGCAAUUAAACACGAGAAAAUAUCAAUUAAAACGGACAUAUGAUUUUAUCUUCCCCCUAUGCAAGAAUUGCUCACCCAAAACCCUCAAUUAUGAAAUAUAUGAUUCAUGAUUAUUAACCCGAGACACUAAUUUACUCAUAACCCGAUGUCGCGUGUAUUAUGAGUCUAUUAUUCAUAAACGGUUCACUAUAUGUCUAUGCAAACCAAUUAUGAAUAAAUCAUUAACAAACAAGUCUCCUAAAUGGCUACCUAAGGUGAUAUUUGUAUAUCUACGACACCACAUGCAAUUGACACACUCAUCCGGUGAAAACUACUCGAAGGUUCUUCUACUUACUGUCCAAUUAUCAAAAUAGCUCUAUCGAGUCAAUCCCAAUAAUCACAGAUAAAGCACAUAAAUUGAUCAAGUUCAUGCACUAACAAUCAUAACAAGUAGAAGAAAUAAUCAUAAAAUUAUAAUUGCAUAAUCUCAAGAAAAUGGGUUCACCAUCCCCACAUAGGGUACCAACAAAAUCCUAGAUUGAAAACUUAGCUACUCAUAACGACAAACAUAAUAAAAGUAAUAAAAGUCCUAGAUUAAGAAAAGAUAGGUGAAAGAAGAAUCAUGAUGAAGAUUUGUCAAUUCUCCGUCUUCGUUUCUUCGCUCUCUCGCUCCUCUUCCUCUAAGAUUGUGUUCAAAAGUUCUUUAAUUCGUGCUUGGUUUGCCCUUAAAUAGAUGUCCCAACUUGGUAGAUGAUUUUAGGUUUCCUUGUGUGAUUAAAAGUCCAAAAUUGUCUCGAGCGUGUUUUGGCGCGGCCACGCGAAAAUCAGUGUAAUUCUCACACGGCCGCGCGAGAAUCGCCGAAACCUUCUGUCCAAAAUCUGCAAUUGGCGCGGCCGCGCCAAAAAUAGGCUAAAUUAGGCACGGCCGCGCGGACCAAUUUUCAGCAUAUUUUUGUUUUCUUCCGUUUUUGCCCCUUUUUGACAUUUUUUGGCUCGUUUCGUCCUUGGAACUCCCAAAUCGUCAAGUUGUGCCUAAAAUACAAUAAACCACUCAUUAAGCAUCAUUUAAAUCAAUAAAAGUAUACAAAAAUCCUCUUAAGAAUGUAUACAUUGAGUGUAAAAUAUACACUCAACACACCCCCAAACUUGAACUUUUGCUUGUCCUCAAGCAAAAACUAGCAACUUUCAAAGCAACACUUUCAACAAAUGCCUCUCAUCACAUAGAUUAAUGAUCAACUUUCAUGUUUUCAGAACUUGCAAUUAUCAUGACAAUUCUAAAAAAAUUACAAGCUCGUAAUUCAAAGAUACGUAUUCAGUCACCCUUGCCAAAAAACACAAGCCAUGCUAUCGCUUCAAGUAUCCCAUAUUUGCAAAUUAACAAUAGAGAAAAUUUAUACUUACAUAAUAAUAUUCAACUCCAAAGACUCACCAAAUUUCUUUACUAGGCUAGUAUCAAAUAACUGAGCUAUUGGGAUUAUUGGGACUUUUUGGCUUUCAAAUGUUAGGCUUUUUGGUUCGAGGUAGAAAGUAUGGGUAAAAGUGGAUAUGCUUCUUGAAUUGAGGUGAUUACGCCAAAUUUUGAAUGAUAGACGUUUGAAACAAUGAAUUCACCUCUAAGAACUUUUUAAUCAACUCUCUUAAGAGUUCAAAAGUCUCCACUUUUGCCCUUAAGACAAUGGAUCGAGCUUUCAAAAAAUAAAUUCAACAACUAGUCCUUUCAUCUCCCUUCUAGUCUCUUCUUCUUCUCUCUCUUUCUUCUUCUCUCUUUUUUUUCUUUUUUUUUUAUAUAUAAAUAUAUUUAUAUAUAACUUUCGCAUUUUUUUUUUAAUAAAAAAAAAGAGGAAGAAGAAUGACCUUAUAAAAUUUUCCAACCGAACUCCAAAGGGUAAAUUUUCAAGAAUCUCCAUUUAUUCUACCUUAUACACAUUUGCUAAAAGAAAGAACACCGUUUCUCCAAGGCUCAAUCAAGGUUCGAAUGAUAAAAAUUUAAAGGUAGGCUUGAAAGGCUCAAACGGUUCAAAGAUGGCCCAAAUCACUUCCCAAAUUGCUCAAGAAUUUAAUAUUUCACUUUGUAAAUUCCUAAGGCAAGUUCUAAAACCGAAUAGCAUAUGAUAUAGCAUCAAUUAACUCAAAUUUUAAAACACAAAACUUUAACGAAAGCAACGCAUAAUUCGAGAUUCCUAACAAUGACUCCUUCCUACGACACUUUGAAUCAAAAGCUCACCAAAAUUCGAUCAAAAUCAAGAUAAAGCAAGCAAUUUCACCAUUAAACAUCGACCAUCUUUCAUCAUCAUAAUUCAUCGAAGCAUUUAUCUCAAACACAUUUUUUUUUUCGAAAGCAAUAACUAAAAUAAAAUAACUCAAUUAAAAAAAACUAAGGCAUGUAAACUAAAAAAUUAAAGCAAGUAAUUUUCCACCCCAAACUUAAAAUUUACAUUGCCCUCAAUGUAAUUAGCACGUAAUUUAAGAAUAGAAUACACCUGAAUUAGUCGUCUUGGCCAUGUAUGGGCUACUGAAAUUUUUGCCUUUUAUUGUGCUUCUGUCCAUCUGGCACGGCCGUGUCAGUUUUGAACUGAUUUUCGCACGGCCGUGCGAAUUGCAAAAUUGGGGCAGUAGUUGUCUGUUUCUCGCACGGUCGUGUGAGAUUAUAGUGUUUUUUCUCGCGCGGCCGCGCCCCAAGCAAAAAUCGGACAGUAGCUUCCCCGAUUUUUCACACGGCCGUGUGAAAUUUAGCCUUGUUUUGGGACGGCCGUAUGAGCUCCCGAUUUUUGGUCCUGAAAAUUAAGAAUAUGCUUAAAUUGUUAGCUCGCAUGCUUAUAAAAUAAAUAAAUAAAAUAAAACAAGAAAAUUAAAUAAAAAACAAAAAUCUCGGGUUGCCUCCCGAGAAGCACUAAGUUUAUAGUCUUCAGCCAGACUUUGUUCCUGCUCUUCAAUUCCUUAGCUUUUGAACCCAUCUCCUUACUUCCUUUUGGAGGAAUUCUUAAGUAAAUGGGUUGAUCCGAUUCUUCUUUCGACUGGUUCGCUUAUUCUUCUUGAUGUCAUGAGGCUUGCCAACAUCGUCUUUAAAACCCCAACUCUUUUGACUAUCUCUCGGAAGAGUUGAAAUUGAGUUCAUCAAAUAAACUUGCUCUUUCCGACUCCCGUUUCCGCCAUCAUCUCCUGCACUCAAAGAUGCUUUCCCAUGGUCCAAGAUUAAAACAUCAAAAUUUUUAUGAUUUGUAAAAUCCAUAAGAUCAAUAGCAAAACAAUCAUUAUUAUCACAUGGAUUUUUAUUAGCACUAAAAACAUUAAAUUUUAUCGUUUGAUCAUGCACCGUCAUUGUAAGAUCACCACUAGCACAGUCAAUUAGAGUUUUCGAUGUAGCUAAAAACGAUCUUCCUAAAAUAAGAGGUAUCUCCCUAUCUUCAUCUAUAUGAAGUAUAACAAAAUCAACUGGGUAGAUAAAUUUGUUCACUUUUACUAGCACAUUCUCUAAAAUACCUUUUGGGUAAACUAAAGACCUAUCGGCUAAUUGAAGAGUUAUAGCCGUCGGUUCAAUCUCACCUAACCGAAGAUUUUUAUAAGUGGAAUAAGGCAUAAGAUUAAUGCUAGCGCCUAAAUCAAUGAGCGAUCUAAAAUUUUUACCUCCUAUAGUACAAGGAAUAGUGAACUUACCUGGAUCGCCGAGUUUUUGUGGAAGGGGCCGUGUAAGAAUUGCACUACAAUGCUCCGUGAGUUGGAUCAUCUCGUUCCCUCGCAAUUUCUUCCUCUUUGUCACGAGAUCCUUGAGGAAUUUCACCCACUUUGGCAUCUUUUGAAGGGCUUCGAUAAACAGGAUAUUUAUGUGAAUUUCCUUUAACUUGUCCAAAAAUCCUUGGUAUUCGGCAUCGAGCUUCUUCUUUAGAAGCUUUUGAGGAUAUGGAAUUGGAGGGGCUCGUGAUUUCACUGUGGAUGAUAGUGGUUCUUCGUGAGUUGAUUCUUUUUCCCCACUCACGCUCGGCUUCUCGAUUACCGUGUUUUGCUUCUCUUUUUGUGGGGCUUCCUCCAAUUGUCUCCCAUUCCUUAAACUUACAGCGUUGCACUGCUCGAUGUUGUUCUUCCGAGGAUCUUCUGUAUUUGACGGCAGUGCUCCCGAUGGCCUCGCGUUUAGCUGGGUUGCAAGUUGACCCAUCUGUGUUUCCAAAUUGCGGAUGGAAGCUUGAGUGGAUGUCAUAAAUUGAGCCAAGAUAUUUGCGAGAUCUCCACCUUGAGGUGGUGCUUGCCUUUGUCCUUGCUGAUUUCCUCCCAUCCAAAGUUGGGGUGGUCUUUCCAUCCCGGAUUAUAAGUGUUGGAGUACGGGUUCCUCUGUUGUCGGUUGGUAUCAUUCACGUAAUUUAGAGACUCCGUUUCUUCUAAGCACUGGUCGGGAACUUGGACUGCAUGGACUUGCUGAAUCUGCAAAGCUGCUACUUGCUUUGAUAGCUUUUCUAACUGGGCAGUGAUUGCGGUGACCCCAUCCACCACCAAAAUUCCUCCCGUCUUCUUGGUUCCGCUAUUUGACCGCUCUGAUGCCCGCAUGUAUUUGUUCCUUGCAAUUCGCUCCAAAAGUUCGUAAGCUUCGUCAUAGGUCAAGCUCAUGAACAUACCGCCAGCUGCUGAAUCGAGCACCGUUCUCGAAUUAUCUUGCAGUCCAUCAUAAAAUAUUUGUAGUUGCCGCCACUCUUGAAGUCCGUGAUUCGGGCAUCUCCGAAUUAAUUGUUUGAACCGCUCCCACGUCUCGAAUAGCGCUUCACCGGCUUCUUGUAUGAAGUUUUGUAUUUCUCUCCGGAUUCUCUCAUUUUUUGUUGGGGAGUUGUAUGUGUUCAUGAAAAGUUGUGCUAGUUGGGGCCAAGACGAGAUGGAGUGCGGUGCAUGAGUUUGUAACCAUUCUCGGGCUGCUCCUUGUAAAGAGUGCUUGAACAGGCGGAGUUGCUGUGCUUCAGGUGAUACUCCGUGCAUCUUAUUCGAAUCACACGUUUCGAGAAAGUUGACCAAGUUGAGAUGCGGGUUUUCAUGAGCUAAUCCGCUGAACAACCCAUUGUUUUGGAGCAUAGUAAGGGUCCCGCGCGAAUUUCGAAAUUGUUGGCUUCAAUGGGGGGCUGCUGGAUGCUUGAUUGAAACCCAUUGAGUGUCGGAACGGUGUACUCAUGCAAUGCUCGUUGACGAGGUGGUGGAUUAAUGAGCUGCUGUUGCUCUUGCUCGUUGACGAUAUUUCCUGCUGCAUUGGGUAGGCGCCCUUGGUCAUCUCCCCUACGAUUAUUUUCUUCUUCCAUUGUUGCGGGAAUGUUUUGAGCUAACCGUUUAUUUCUCCUGGCGUGCCUAAACGUUCGCUCAAUUUUCGGGAUCAAGAGGUAGCAAUUUCAUGUCAUGUCCUCUUCGCAUAAAAAGUACCUAAUACAAAAAUAGUAAAAAUAAAAUAAGCAAAUAAAAUAAUUAAAUAAAAUAAAUAAAAACGGCUGAAGUAAGAAAAAGUGCUCAAAUUUAAUAUUAGGAUAAGUAUAUAAUUUAGCCGUAUUCCCCGGCAACGACGCCAAAAACUUGUUGGGGCUAAAUACCUAACACGCAAGUGCACGUAUCGCAAACAAGUAGUAAAAGUGGACUCGUGAGAGUCGGAUGUCGAUCCCACAGGGAAUACUCAAAUUACCUAAUCCUAAGUACCAAAUUCUAACAACUAUGAUUUUUAUCCAACCUACGCAAAGUUGUCAAAUUUAAUCAACUAAAUAAUUAAACUAAUUAUGAAAGCAAUUAAACACGAGAAAAUAUCAAUAAAAACGGACCUAGGAUUUUAUCUUCCCCCUAUGCAAGAAUUGCUCACCCAAAACCCUCAAUUAUGAAAUAUAUGAUUCAUGAUUAAUAACCCGAGACACUAAUUUACUCAUAACCCGCUGUCGCGUGUAUUAUCAGUCUAUUAUUCAUAAACAGUUCACUAUAUGUCUAUGCAAACCAAUUAUGAAUAAAACAUUAACAAACAAGUCUCGUAAAUGGCUACCUAAGGUGAUAUCUGUAUGUCUACGACACCACAUGCAAUUGACACACUCAUCCGGAGAAAACUACUCGAAGGUUCUUCUACUUACCGUCUAAUUAUCAAAAUAGCUCUGUCGAGUCAAUCCCAAUAAUCACAGAUAAAGCACAUAAAUUGAUCAAGUUCAUGCACUAACAAUCAUAACAAGUAGAAGAAAUAAUCAUAAAAUCAUAAUUGCAUAAUCUCAAGAAAACGGGUUCACCAUCCCCACAUAGGGUUCCAACAAAAUCCUAGAUUAAAAACUUAGCUACUCAUAACGACAAACAUAAUAAAAGUAAUAAAAGUCCUUGAUUAAGAAAAGAUAGGUGAAAGAAGAAUUAUGAUGAAGAUUUGUCAAUUCUCCGUCUUCGUUUCUUCGUUCUCUCGCUCCUCUUCCUCUAAGAUUGUGUUCAAAAGUUCUUUAAUUCGUGCUUGGUUUGCCCUUAAAUAGAUGUCCCAACUUGGUAGAUGAUUUUAGGUUUCCUUGUGUGAUUUAAAGUCCAAAAUUGUCUCCAGCGUGUUUUGGCGCGGCUGCGCGAAAAUCAGUGUAAUUCUCAAACGGCCGCGCGAGAAUCGCCGAAACCUUCUGUCCAAAAUCUGCAAUUGGCGCGGCCGCGCCAAAAAUAGGCUAAAUUUGGCACGGCCGCGCGGACCAAUUUUCAACAUAUUUUUGUUUUCUUCCAUGUUUGCCCAUUUUUUGAACUUUUUUGGCUUGUUUCGUACUUGCAACUCCCAAAUCGUCAAGUUGUACCUAAAAUACAAUAAAGCACUCAUUAAGCAUCAUUAAAUCAAUAAAAAUAUACAAAAAUCCUCGUAAGAAAGUAUACAUUGAGUGUAAAAUAUACACUCAACAAUUGUACUAUUGUUGAUACGCAUUUCCUUGGCGAAAAAAAAUACAAGAAGAUUAACAUUUCAGCUCAAAGAAACACUCAGAUCAAACUACAAUCAAGCAAUGAUCUGUUAGAGUAGGUGACCAACAAGCCAACAUGUGGCUGUGGUCUUUCGUAUUUAUUAUUGUAAUAAACGAACCUUUAUUCGUAUUAAUGAUAAAACACCUUGGCAUUCUAUAUCUUUGUCCCUUUGUCACAAGCAUAGAUAUAGUCCUUACAGUUAUUACAAGUACUAGUAAUUGAUCGUUAGGAUCGUGAGAUAUUUACUUAAGUAUUAUAACUGUUAAACGUGUUCCUAGUCGAAGGGUUACGCCACUAAUGAGGAUAUCGGCCUUUCCCGUUAAGACUAGCACUUAGUGUAUGUGUACUGCAUCUCAUCAGUAAACGGUAUUGUGAUAUCGGCAUGCAUAAGUGGGUGCUCGUAAGUUGACGAGUUCACUGAACUCCCUCACCCUAGAAAUCUCUAAGUGGUUCCCAAUAAUCGAGUAGAGAUAUCUAUGGUAUAGUUGUACACCAUUAGUCCUUAUGACCUAGACAUCACCGUGACUUCACUAGAGGACCAGCUGUAUCGUGACCUGUCCCUGAGUUCCACCGAGGACCAUCCCAAGGGCCAGUGUUCGUGCAAUCCGAAAUCUAGUGGGAGGUCUGUGCAUUGUAGUCGGGGAUUCGAUCGCUAGAAUAGUCUUGGAUGUCCUGUGUGUUCUGAAAGUUUGUAAUCAUUCUAAGUCUCUGGCCAGAGCUGACUAAGUGAUGAUUAGAGAAUUCGAUUCUCUAAGUCAUGCACGUGACGAUUACAACACUUGGAACGAUCGCACCCUCAACGAACAUAUAAAGAGGUCUCGAUGAACCAAUGCCUCUAGUUCGAUCGGGACAUAUGUAUCGAAGGGACCGUACUGUACGUUAACUAUAUCUGAAGGUUCUUGCAGGCACUUCAUUUGUAUCUAGGGAAUCAUGACGCGUAGUUGCUAGACGCCAAUCUUGAUUCGUUGGGUGAUUAAGGUGAAACGAGCUUCAUCUUAAUCGUAACUCGAAGGGGACGAGUUUUGACCACAAAGGGUUGUGGGCCCACGGCUAGCUUACACCUGAACCAUCGAGGGUCACACUGCUCGUGCACAUGAGAUCUUUGAAUAAACGGUCAGAGAUAAAAUAGUUUAUCUUUGCAUGAUUGGAAGUCAAUUUGAUUGAGUCCAACAUUCGUAAUUUGGAAUUAUGAAUGAGAAUCAGAAAAGGAAAAGAAUAGGCGAACGUGUUAGUGAACUUUCUAAAUCGGGAAGUUUCCAAAUUUAGAAAGUCCACUGAACUAGGGUUUCCACUUUUGGAAAGUUGGAAAAUAAGAGAUGGCACUCGUAAUGACGAGGAAGUUAUAAUGAUUCCGAAAAUGCAAUCGUUGCAAUUUUUCGGUCAUUGAAUUGAGAGAGACGAGCAAGUAAAGGAACUAACGAGCUUAAGCUGUUGGGCCCAGUCCAACUUAAGCCCGCUAGGGUUUUAUGCAAGGGACUAUAAAUACAUGAUUUAUAGACCUUGCACAUAGAUAACAAACCCUAACCCUAAAGCGGCCGUCCACCUCUCUCUCUCGCGCGGCCACCUCCGCCAUUGACUCCGCCCCGUCGCCGGAAUCGGCCAUCCCUUGGCCGAUCCCAUUCGGUAUUCUUUUCUUUCUCGUUUCUUCCGUUUUAUUCUAACUACUCCGUGUCUAGUGCCACGUUUUAGUAGAUCGAAGUAUACGAGGUGAAAUCCGAGAGGAGGAAGAUCGUAGAUCGAAGAACCGAGGAGCAACGCACGAGCCGAAGCCGCACGCUGCCCCACGCGCCGCCCGGAAGUUCGCGCGUGAAAUUCACGCGCCGCCGUGACCUCACGCGCCGCUGCUGCCGCUGCACCGCUGCUGCCCCGAUUGUACGGAUUGGUUUCCGUAGCAAUCACGACGUGCUAAACGCUCCUACCUCACGCUUCAAGAGGUAAACACGCGAAACCCUAGUUUCGAUUCGAUUAUGUUUAAACUAUUAUUUCAUGUUUGUUUCGUAUGAUUUUAUGUGAUUAUGUGUAAUCGAUUCAAUCAUUGUAAGCAUGUUAUUUGGUUUAAACGCGAGCAUGUUAGUUGAUUUAAAUUCGAUUGAAUUUAUUAGCAUGUAUGUUGUUUUUAAUUUCGCUGGAAGCGCAAAGGUACGCAAUUAAUUGAAUUUAAUUUAUCGGGCAUGUUCUUAUGUGUUUUAAAGUCGUUUGAAUCGCAUAAAUUUUUGUUUUCCGCUGCGUAUGCGUGCCCGAAACCCAACAGUGGUAUCAUAGCUCGUUGCGUAAUUAAUUGCGUUGUAUAAUAUGCUAUGAUUUUAUGCAUGUUCGAUUUAUUAAAGUAGUGAUUGUUGUAUUAUGUAAUUGGGAGUUUUCGUAAGUUUAAAAUAUUUUUGAAAUAUUGUUUAGAAUUUUUCCAGCUUUAAAAUUGUUUAAAAUUGGAAAAUCGGAUCUGAAAUUGUUUUAAAAAUGUCGGUUUUUAAUUGUUCGGAUCGAACCGGUCGAACCGGCCGGUUCGAUGGUUGUGCACGAUUUAGUUGACCGAAUCCACGUGGAUUCGGGUCGGUCAGACCGGUUCCCGGUCCGACUGACCCGGCCCACUGAUUUGGGUCAGCUGGACCGGACAGAACCGGACCGUUUCGGUCCGACCGGUCGGCCGAAUCGGUUAACUGAAAAUAAAUUUUUUUUUUUUUUUUAUUUCAGAUUUCUAAAAUUAAACUUAAAACAAAUUGAUUUUAAUUUUUGGAAAAUUAUUUUCAAUUAAUCCCAAUUAGAUAAUUGGAUCGACAAUCAUCUAUUUUAGUAAAUAGGUGUUAGAUUAAUUAAAUUGAUUUAAAUUGUUAAAUUGAUUUCUAUUAAUAGAACACAUAUAUAAUAUUGAUUAUAAGUUCAACUUAAUUAGUAGUACCUCAACAUUAUUUGAAUGAUUUAUGCUAGUUGAGGUUCUAUAAUUAUUUUGAAAAACCCGAUAAUUAAUUAAUGUAAUUAAUUAUGUAGUUAGGUCGUAUGUUCCUCUUAGGACAAUAUGCGCUUCCAUAUACCUUUAGAGAACAUAGAUGUAGGAAUCACAUAGACCAAUCCAAACCUUCUGAUGAGAUAAAACAUUUUAAUAAAAAUCCCUUAUUCUUUUAAUUAAGAAUCAUUUCAAGCUAUAAAGAAAAACCCAAUCUGUUGAGUUAUUUCUUUCCUUCUGCCAACGGUUGGAUUAUGUGUAGCCCUUUACUAUAGUACAGUAAGCCGUGUUAGCGGGGAGUGCUAUGGUAGAGUAAGCUAUAAUUCAAUUGACAUAAUGAUGAAGGUAGCCGUAGAAAAGGGUUAUGUUGGAUUAACGUGGUCGGCUAGAUUAACUAGGGACUGCAUUAGUUUGGCAUAAUCAAGUUCUAUGAGCAUCUUUGAUUGGUAGGUUAGACUUGACACACGACGAUUUUGAUAUUCGCGAGAUUAACUUAGGUCAUUAUCAAGUGUGAGGAAAAUUAAUUUAGGGUCAUAUUGUGGAUAUGAUUGAUUGUGAUCUACCUUUGGGCAAAUAUAAUCGGGCUAGAUUAACUACGGGUUAUAUUUGUCUAUUGGACCUAAAGCCCAUUAAGAAAAAUCAGUUUUCUCGUUUGUCUACUAGAGGGAAGUGGAACUCGAUAAAAUUAGUGGGAGAACAAUUAAAUAACACAAGUCCAAACAUUUAAUUGUAACAAUCAUUUAACGCGAAUCUGUAAUAAUCCUCUUCUCUAUAUGUCUCAGAUAAUCAUGUCUAAGAAUCCCAUAAUGUCAAUCCUCGACAAUAAACUCAAUGGCCCUAAUUACCUAGAUUGGUUGCGUAGUCUUAAGCUUGUGCUAACUGUUGAGGGGCGUCUCUAUGUUUUGAACGAGAGGCUUCCCGCCACUAUACCUGCCACAGCGACUGAUGCUGAAAAGGAAACUUAUGAAGUUUGGAAGAAAGAUGACACCCAUGCUAGGUGCUAUAUGAUAGCCGCCAUGGAGCCCGCGCUUGCGAGGAAAUAUGAGUCUCACUUGCAUGCUUUCGAUAUAAAGGCUCAUCUCGAUAGCAUGUAUAGUGAGAAUAUUAGGGCAUCGAGGUACGCUGCUACAAAGGAGUUGAUCACAGCGAGAUUGCGCGAAGGGGUUUCGGUCCACGAGCACUGUCUCAAAAUGAUCACUCUCCUUGAAAAGCUAGUGAAUCUUGAUGUCACCCUCACGGCCGAGCUCUCGUUGGAUUUGAUCCUGUUGUCUCUUCCUAGUUCCUAUGAAUCGUUCAUAGUGAACUUCAACAUGAACAAACUAGAUCCUCCCUUGGAUGAGUUAAUGAACAUGUUGGUCAGCUUCGAGUCCACCAUUAAGAAAGAGAAGUCUGUUCUCGUUGCUACUACUUCUGGAAAGAAGAGUUCUUUCCAAAAGAAGAGAAAGGAAAGAGUUCUUUUCCCUAACAGCAAGUUCGAAGUGGGUGAAGGUAGUGGGGGCCCCAAAGCAAAGGUUAGCAAACAAGUUGAUGAUGCUUGCCAUCACUGUGGAAAGAAAGGACAUUGGCGCCGCAACUGCAAGGCUUACCUAAAGCAGAAAGGUUCUGAAAAGGGUACGUAUUUCAUUGACGUAAAUUUGUCUGUCAACUCUUCUUCUUGGGUAUUGGAUACGGGCUGUGGCUCACAUUUGUGCAAUGAUUUGCAGCUAAUGACAAGAAGUCGAAGACUUAGAGCGGGUGAGACCUACCUAAGGAUGGGGAAUGGAGCAAGAGUUGCUGCUGAAGCCAUUGGCACAAUUUACUUAAAUGUUUUGGAUUCUAGUUUUCCUAUUGUUUUGAACAAUUGUUUAUUUGUUCCGUCGCUCAUUAGAAACCUUAUUUCUAUUCCUGUAUUAGAUAUUGAAGGUUUUACUUUUGUUUUUGGAAAUUCGAUUUGCAUUAUACAAAAGAAUGAGAAUUUGAUUUGCAAAGGACGACUAUUAAACAACUUGUAUGAACUAAAUCCAAGUGAAAUACCUAUUAAUGUUAUAUCAGCAAAACGUAAGGAGAUAGAUCAAAACCCCGCACAACUUUGGCACGCUAGAUUAGGUCAUGUCUCUUUAAGAAGGAUGAACGAUUUUGUUAGUGAAGGAUUGUUCUCUUUGGAGGACGUGAAAUCACUACAAACUUGUGAAUCUUGCCUUAAAGGGAAAAUGACCAAGUCACCCUACAAAGGGAAAAUGGAACGAGCCGAGGGUCUUUUGGAUUUGAUCCAUACAGACGUAUGUGGUCCACUAAGUGUUAGUGCGAAGGGUGGAUAUAACUACUUCGCUACCUUUACCGACGAUUAUUCUAGGUUUGGGUAUGUGUACUUGAUGAAGUACAAAUCUGAAACAUUUGAAAGGUUCAAAUAUUUUAGACAUGAAGUAGAAAAGCAACUCGGACGAAGUAUUAAGAAGCUACGAUCCGAUCGUGGUGGAGAAUACUUGAGCAUCGAGUUCAUUGACUAUCUAAAAGAAAAUGGGAUACAGUCCCAAUGGACUCCACCGGGACUCCUCAACUUAAUGGAGUAUCCGAACGUCGGAAUCGAACUUUAUUAGAUAUGGUUCAAUCAAUGAUGGGGUUCACGAACUUACCGGCAUACUUGUGGGGUCAUGCACUCCGUACUGCCGCGUAUUUGCUGAAUAGAGUUAACACCAAAGCAGUUAAAUCCACACCUUAUGAACUUUGGCAUUCCCGGAAACCCAAUUACAAACAUAUUAGGAUAUGGGGUUGUCCCGCUUAUGUGAAGCGAUUAGUGGGAGAUAAGUUGGAUAGUAAAUCCGACUUGUGCUAUUUUGUGGGGUAUCCCGAAGACUCAAUGGGAUACGAGUUCUACUAUGUCAAAGAAGCAAAGACGUUUGUUUCGAGAAAUGCCACCUUUUUGGAAAGGGAGUUUCUAUCCGAUAGAAAGGGCAGCAUGAUAGAACUUGAAGUAGUUCAAGAACCACAAAGUGAAGUUCAAACGCAAGAACAAGUAAUCGAACCAAUACAUCAAACCACUGAUAUACCUCCUGAACCUACGGUACGUAGAUCCGAAAGAGUUCGGAAAAUGCCGGAUAGGUUAUUCCUCCUCGAAAAUGAUGAAGAUCAUGUUGAUCUUGGACGAGAUCCAAGAACAUACAAUGAGGCCUUAUCGGAUGCGGACAUGGGACAUUGGCUAACUGCCAUGAAAUCCGAAAUGGACUCCAUGUACUCCAACAAGGUAUGGACCUUGGUAGAUCCACCCAAAGGAAUUGUUCCUAUAGGCUGCAAGUGGAUCUAUAAGAAGAAAAUUGGAGUUGAUGGAAAGGUAUCGACCUAUAAAGCUAGAUUGGUAGCAAAAGGAUACACUCAAAGGCAAGGUGUUGACUAUGAGGAAACCUUUUCGCCAGUCGCGAUGCUGAAGUCCAUUAGGAUUUUGCUGGCCAUAGCUGCGUGGUACGACUACGAGAUAUGGCAAAUGGAUGUGAAUACCGCCUUCCUUAAUGGAGAUAUUGAGGAAGAAAUUUACAUGGCGCAGCCGGAAGGCUUCAUAUCUUCUGGAAGUGAGCAAAAGGUUUGCAAGCUCCAGCGAUCCAUUUAUGGAUUGAAGCAAGCAUCCCGUAGUUGGAACAUUAGGUUCGACUCAACUAUCAAAGAGUUUGAUUUUGAAAAGAAUCCGGAGGAACCUUGUGUAUACAAGAAGGUUAGUGGGAGGGCAGUAAUAUUUUUAGUGCUUUACGUUGAUGAUAUUCUACUCAUUGGGAAUGACGUAGGAAUGCUGCAACAAACGAAAGCAUGGUUGUCCACACGUUUCUCAAUGAAGGAUUUGGGAGAAGCAUCUUACGUAUUAGGAAUACGCAUCUAUAGAGAUAGAGCAAGAAAGAUGCUUGGCUUAUCCCAAAGCCUGUACAUAGACACCGUUAUGAAACGGUUUAGCAUGGAAGAAUCCAAGAAGGGAUUCUUGCCAAUGUCCCAUGGGGUUCGUCUCUCGAAAUCUAUGCGUCCCCAAACACCUAGUGAAAUCGAGGAGAUGAAAAGGACGCCCUAUGCUUCUGCCAUAGGAAGCAUAAUGUAUGGCAUGCUAUGUACGAGACCCGAUAUUGCGUAUGCUGUGAGUGUCACAAGCAGAUAUCAGUCUAACCCCGGCCCGGCUCACUGGAAAGCCGUGAAAGAUAUCCUCAAGUACUUGCGAAGGACUAAGGAUAUAUUUUUGGUCUAUGGGGGUGCCGAGUUGAAAUUAGAGGGUUUUACCGACUCUAGUUUUCAAUCGGACGUGGACGACUCAAAGUCGAAUUCUGGAUUUAUAUUCACGCUUAAUGGUGGUGCCGUGUGUUGGAAGAGUUCCAAGCAAAGCACGACGGCUGAUUCCACUACCGAAGGGGAAUACAUUGCAGCGUCUGAAGCUGCAAAAGAAGGGACUUGGAUAAGGAAAUUCAUCCAAGAGUUGGGUGUCAUUCCUGAUGCUAGUGAUCCAGUACCGUUGUACUGUGAUAACACCGUAGCCGUGGCGCAAGCUAAGGAGCCACGAUCUCAUCAGAAGUCGAAGCAUAUUCUGAGGAUGUAUCACGUGAUCCGAGAGAUCAUUGAUAGAGGUGAAGUUAAGGUUGAACGAGUCACCUCGGAAGAGAACGUUGCAGACCCCUUCACGAAGCCUUUACCAAGAUCGGUCCAUGAGAAACAUCGAGAGUCGAUGGGAUUGCGGUUUAUGGGUAGUUGGCUUUAGGUCAAGUGGGAGAUUGUUAGAGUAGGUGACCAACAAGCCAACAUGUGGCUGUGGUCUUUCGUAUUUAUUAUUGUAAUAAACGAACCUUUAUUCGUAUUAAUGAUAAAACACCUUGGCAUUCUAUAUCUUUGUCCCUUUGUCACAAGCAUAGAUAUAGUCCUUACAGUUAUUACAAGUACUAGUAAUUGAUCGUUAGGAUCGUGAGAUAUUUACUUAAGUAUUAUAACUGUUAAACGUGUUCCUAGUCGAAGGGUUACGCCACUAAUGAGGAUAUCGGCCUUUCCCAUUAAGACUAGCACUUAGUGUAUGUGUACUGCAUCUCAUCAGUAAACGGUAUUGUGAUAUCGGCAUGCAUAAGUGGGUGCUCGUAAGUUGACGAGUUCACUGAACUCCCUCACCCUAGAAAUCUCUAAGUGGUUCCCAAUAAUCGAGUAGAGAAAUAUAUGGUAUAGUUGUACACCAUUAGUCCUUAUGACCUAGACAUCACCGUGACUUCACUAGAGGACCAGCUGUAUCGUGACCUGUCCCUGAGUUCCACCGAGGACCAUCCCAAGGGCCAGUGUUCGUGCAGUCCAAAAUCUAGUGGGAGGUCUGUGCAUUGUAGUCGGGGAUUCGAUCGCUAGAAUAGUCUUGGAUGUCCUGUGUGUUCUGAAAGUUUGUAAUCAUUCUAUGUCUCUGGCCAGAGCUGACUAAGUGAUGAUUAGAGAAUUCGAUUCUCUAAGUCAUGCACGUAAGGAUUACAACACUUAGAACGAUCGCACCGUCAUCGAACAUAUAAAGAGGUCUCGAUGAACCAAUGCCUCUAGUUCGAUCGGGACAUAUGUAUCGAAGGGACCGUACUGUACGUUAACUAUAUCUGAAGGUUCUUGCAGGCACUUCAUUUGUAUCUAGGGAAUCAUGACGCGUAGUUGCUAGACGCCAAUCUUGAUUCGUUGGGUGAUUAAGGUGAAACGAGCUUCAUCUUAAUCGUAACUCUAAGGGACGAGUUUUGACCACAAAGAGUUGUGGGCCCACGGCUAGCUUACACCUGAACCAUCGAGGGUCACACUGCUCGUGCACAUGAGAUCUUUGAAUAAACGGUCAGAGAUAAAAUAGUUUAUCUUUGCAUGAUUGGAAGUCAAUAUGAUUGAGUCCAAGAUUCGUAAUUUGGAAUUAUGAAUGAGAAUCAGAAAAGGAAAAGAAUAGGCGAACGUGUUAGUGAACUUUCUAAAUCGGGAAGUUUCCAAAUUUAGAAAGUCCACUGAACUAGGGUUUCCACUUUUGGAAAGUUGGAAAAUAAGAGAUGGCACUCGUAAUGACGAGGAAGUUAUAAUGAUUCCGAAAAUGCAAUCGUUGCAAUUUUUCGGUCAUUGAAUUGAGAGAGACGAGCAAGUAAAGGAACUAACGAGCUUAAGCUGUUGGGCCCAGUCCAACUUAAGCCCGCUAGGGUUUUAUGCAAGGGACUAUAAAUACAUGAUUUAUAGACCUUGCACAUAGAUAACAAACCCUAACCCUAAAGCGGCCGUCCACCUCUCUCUCUCGCGCGGCCACCUCCGCCAUUGACUCCGCCCCGUCGCCGGAAUCGGCCAUCCCUUGGCCGAUCCCAUUCGGUAUUCUUUUCUUUCUCGUUUCUUCCGUUUUAUUCUAACUACUCCGUGUCUAGUGCCACGUUUUAGUAGAUCGAAGUAUACGAGGUGAAAUCCGAGAGGAGGAAGAUCGUAGAUCGAUGAACCGAGGAGCAACGCACGAGCCGAAGCCGCACGCUGCCCCACGCGCCGCCCGGAAGUUCGCGCGUAAAACUCACGCGCCGCCGUGACCUCACGCGCCGCUGCUGCCGCUGCACCGCUGCUGUCCCGAUUGUACGGAUUGGUUUCCGUAGCAAUCACGACGUGCUAAACGCUCCUACCUCACGCUUCAAGAGGUAAACACGCGAAACCCUAGUUUCGAUUCGAUUAUGUUUAAACUAUUAUUUCAUGUUUGUUUCGUAUGAUUUUAUGUGAUUAUGUGUAAUCGAUUAAAUCAUUGUAAGCAUGUUAUUUGGUUUAAACGCGAGCAUGUUAGUUGAUUUAAAUUCGAUUGAAUUUAUUAGCAUGUAUGUUGUUUUUAAUUUCGCUGGAAGCGCAAAGGUACGCAAUUAAUUGAAUUUAAUUUAUCGGGCAUGUUCUUAUGUGUUUUAAAGUCGUUUGAAUCGCAUAAAUUUUUGUUUUCCGCUGCGUAUGCGUGCCCGAAACCCAACAUGAUCAUACACAUAAUAAGGCAAAAUAGAAAAUCCUAAUUUUGAAUGAACCCUAGCACGAAAAGAUGAAUCUAUAAAUAGGAUGAUUCAACUCAAAUUAAAACACAAUCAAUGGAGGAAGCGGCAUCUUUAUUUCACUAUGAAUCAACAAGAGUUUACAGCUUUCAAUAAAUACAACAAGAUCAACACAUCAGAGUUCACAGUUUCUUCUCUCUCUGAUUUUUUACCCCUCUCUCUUAUGAUUACAAUGUAUUUUGUUUCUCUCUCUUAAUCUAACCAAAUACAGUUGCUCCUUCCUCUUUAUGUAUCUCCCAGAAGUCAGCUUCUCCUCCAAAUUGUCAGAUCACAUGCCUUGAUCUCCCUCAGCCAACCAGAGUGAGCUUCACCUCAGCUUAGUUGGUUAGUUUGUUAUUAGCAUGUGCUCAAUCCUACGUACGUGGAUCGUCGAAUUAGUUGAUUAGCUGGUACUUCUUAAAUUCACUAGCAUCACAACCCUUCAUUAUGACAAGUUGAUGAUCAAUUCCAACGUACUUUAAAAGAAAAGGAAAAGAACAAACAAUAAUAAUAAUAUCCUCGCAUAUAGUCCAAAUACUCAUUUAGGUGCAAGUUUAUUACAUUAUCACUACACUCCAAAAUACUAAUAAUGUAUAACUUUGAGUGCGGCAAUGUCAAUUGUCAAGUCGUUCUAUACGUGCUGUUAAAUUUGAGACUUUAAUCAAAAUUAUGCAAUUUUAUUAAGAGUUCAUUUAUGUAUUUCAGCACAAAAUGUUGUAUGAUACAAUUUAUGCAACUUUUUGUGAUUAAUAUUUAAAAUAUUGAACCAAAGAUUUCCAAUUUUGUAAAGACGGUCUAAACUCACGGUGGAACAAUAAGACCAUUAAAUAUGAUUAUUUCUAUGCUACACCCGGUAAAUAUUAUAUUUGGUGGAGUUUUACCGUUGAUCUACAUACCAAAGUGUGUGUAAAUAUUUAUAUAUUUACUAAUGGUAAAUAUCUACCUGGUGUAGUUCACCUGAUGUAGCAUAGUAUAAAUCAUUAAAUUUCAUAUUUAGACGAGUUCCACUAGUUAAAAUUUUAAAUAGCAAUUUGAAUAGACAAAGAAAAUAGGAGAAAUUAAUCUUAUGAAUCUAAGUAGUCUUUAGCCAUUAAUUUUAAUAUUUUAUGGAAAAUAGCUACAAACUAAAAUAUAAUAUGAUUAUGAAUUUAUUAUUGAAACUGGGUAUUUUUAAUGGGACAAAUACACUAGAAUAUAUAAUAAAAUUAAGAAAAAACCAAUAAUAAGGGAAAAUGAGGGAUAACCCACUUGUUGGGUAAAAUAAUAUAAUUUGGGCCCAAUUUAUAUUUGAACAUUUGUAAACAAACUCAUUUAAUAUUUUCUUAAUUGUGUGACCCCCUAAGCUUAUGUUUAUGCCCAUUAUACCUUUUUUUUCCAUAUUUUUUUCUCCUACUUUCUCUCUCUUCUCCUUAUUUAUCUCUUAUCCGUCAUUUUAUAUUCUCCAUUCAUUUCUCUCCCUUACUUUUUUUUCCUCACUUUUGACGUGUUAUUCUUUUAUUCUUCUUCUUCUCUCCCCUCUCUCCUCUCUCUCUUCCCCAACUUCCUCUCUUCUCGUAUCUCUUCUUCUCUCUCCUCUCUCCUCUCUCUCUUCCCCGACUUCCUCUCUUCUCGUAUCUUUUUUCUCCCUCUUUUCCUCUCUUCUUUUCUCUCUUCUCUCUCUUUCUUUCUCUUCCCUCAUUUCCUCUUUUCUCAUCUGUUUCUGUUUCAUUUUUUUCUCUAUUUCUUCUCACUACUUUACCUUUUCUUCUAUAUCUCAUCUUUUUUUUUGUUUAAAUCAAUCUAUUUUCUAUUCUAUGAAAUUCAUGUUUUCACCGGAGAUGAGAUUUUUAUCAUGAGUAUUCAAUUUUAUAACACCAUAGUAUCUUAAAUUGAAAAAUAAUAUAGUGAAUUAAUGGAAAUAUUAUAGUUAACUGCCAAUUUUUUUAUAGUUGACAUCGGAACAAUUAUAGUUGACUAUCUAAUUUUUGUAGUUGACUCUGGCAACAAUAUAGUUAACUACCAAUUUUUUAUAGUUGACAUCGUAAAAAUUAUAGUUGACUAUCUAAUUUUAUAGUUGACUUUGGGAACAAUAUAGUGAACUAUCCGAUUUUAUAGUUGACUCUGAGUGUAGAUGACUAUAAUAUUUAAUGUUUUUCGACAACAAUGAUCUCUUCUUUGUUGUGGACUCUGAUAAAACAAAUUUCAUAGGAAACAAAUAUUUAUGAGUCAACAAAUAGUGCGACCAUAGAUCUGUAGAUCUAAAAAACAAGCUUGUUUACAAACUCCAUUUUUGACUAAUCAACCAUGGAAGAAUUCCGAACCGUCGCAUAUGGUCGUUGCGUACCGUUGCAUACCGUUUAUGUAGGACACUUCGAUUUGUCCUUCGGAGUCGCUGAGAAGGGUGCACAAAAUAGAAAUUAUGUGGUACAUGUACAUAAAUUAGGUUAAUAGUUGUCGAGGGGAGCGAUGGGUGUAUAAGAAACUACCUGUCUUCUUCUUGCUACCUUUCACCAUUAUUGUCGACCUGUAUUUCUCAACGAUUCCCACACAAUUGUUAAUUGGUUUUUUUUCUUUUGAAGAAAUUUAGCAAACUAGGGCAUUGAUGCGACUGGGAAAUGAUUCGAUAUAUUUGCAGGACCCAUGGGUCUUCUGCUGCCAUGUGUCAUUUCUUGUAUUUUAUAAUAUAUUCCCCAACUAUUGUAGGCGUUUUAGAAAAAUACAAAAAAAAGACAUGUGACAGCAGAAGACCCACCCAAUAUUUAUCACUGAGUGUAGGGUCGAAUGAGCCAACAUGCAGGGAGGGCAACCUGUUAUAUUUCCUUCUUCUCAUAUUAUGUGUCGUUUGCUUUGAAGAAAAAUAAAAUAUAUUUCAAAUUAUUUGUCAAGAAUUCUAAUAGAGAAUUUAUUAUGCAUUUCUCAAUUUUAGACUUACUGUUCUUAGUUUAUCGAGAGAAUAUCAACUGUAAAAAAAAUAAUAAAAAGGGUAUUUUAGUCACUUGGUUAGUGUUUUUUUUUAUUAUUUCUUUAUAGAAUUCAUGCGCAAUUAUUAGUUUUCGUCUCAAUACUUGUAGAUUAAUAUGGGAAGAAUGAAGUAUAAAUUAAUUGUGCAAAUCUCUCAAUAAGGGAAUGUCUAGUUCCAAUUGUUAUGAUUGAAAUUCCACAUCCAUUUGUCUUGAAUUUCAAAAUCAAAAUAAGAUAGCAUUAGCAUAAGAAGAAAACGAUAUCUUAUUUAUUCUCAUGACUUGAAAAUACAAUGUAUUAAUUAUGUGAAACAUACAAAUACAUCAAUCAUAUGCCAAACUUCCUCAAACAUUAACUAGAUGUUGUUAGGCAUGUGGACCGAAGUACGACGUAUCGAUCAAUCUUAUUACCUAGUAAUUUCUCUAUCGAAGAAAGAUUACUAAAUGGUCUUAUUCUUGAAAAUGUAUACGAAAACUACCGCUUUUUAUUUGUGUAGUAGAGACGAUUGAAAACGGUAAUUAUGCACUUUGGUUGUUAAUUGAUGAUAUAUGUACGGGAAGGGAGAGGUUUAAGAUGAUGAUGGAAAGACAAGUUUUCGGAAUUAGUAAAUGACUCAUAUGACAUUUUUUUCAGUAUGUUAAUGGUCAAUCGUUUAAGGUGAUCGCGCAAUUGGUGGUGGUGGUGGUGAACAUAAUCUUCGAAAUACUAAGCAUAUACGUGGAGGUGGCGGUGGUGACGGAGGUGGAGGUGGUGGGGAAGGAGGCGGAGGUGGAGAAGGUGGUGGCGGAGGAGAGGAGGGGGGUGGUGGUGGUGGUGGUGGUGGGGGUGAACUUAAUCUUGGAAAUACUAAACAUAAACGUGGAAAUGGAGGUGGAGGUGGUGGGGAAGGAGGUGGAGAAGGUGGUGGUGGAGGAGGGGAGGGGGGUGGUGGUGGUGAUGGCCAUCGACAAAAUAUCGAUGAUGGUGGUGGACGUGGAGAUGUAGACCCAAGUGGCGGUGGUGGUGAUCGGCAAAGUAUCGAUGUCGGUGGUGGUGGCGGUGGAGAUCUAAGAGCAUCUCCAAUGGAUAGGGGUGUUUUCCCCCUCCCCUACCCCUCCCCCUCCCUUUCCCUCUACCUACGUCGUUUCCAACCGUUCGAUCUUUUAUUACUUUUUUUCCAAUUCUCACUCUCACCACGAUAAUAAUAAUAAAAUGAUAAUAAAAAACACAAUAAUAAUAAUAAUAAUAAUAACAAUAAUAAUAAUAAUAAUAAUAAUAAUAAUAAUAUUAUUAAUAUUAGUAUUAAUAACUAAUAAUUAAUAAUAAUUAUUACUAAUAAUAAUUAAUAAUAAAAAUAAUGAUAAUAAUAAUAAUAAUAAUAAUAAUAAUAAUAAUAAUAAUAAUAAUAAUAAAUAUAAUAAUAAUAAUAAUAAUAAUAAUAAUAAUAAUAAUAAUAAUAAUAACAAUAAUAACAAUAAUAAUUAUAAUAAUAAUAAUAAUAAUAAUAAUAAUAAUAAUAAUAAUAAUAAUAAUAAUAAUAAUAAUAAUAAUAAUAAUAAUAAUAAUAAUAAUAAUAAUAGUAAUAAUAAUAAUAAUCAUAAUUUAAUUAUAAUAAUUUUACUUAAGUUUUUAUUUACGAAUUCAGUGUUUGAUUUUCUUAAAAUUAUGUUGCUAUUUCAAAUUUAUAAUAAAAAUUAAAAUAAUCGUAUUUGUUAUUUUUUAUAAUUUUUACAAUUAUAAAAAAAAGUAUAUUAACAAAUAAAAUAAAAUAAAAUAAAACCAAAUAAAGAAACAAAAUAAAAUAAUAAUAAUAAUAAAAUAAUUACGAAUAAAGGUAUAAUUCAAAAGGAAAUAAUAAAAUAAAAGAAAAAGAAAUGAAAACAAAAAUAUUAAAAGUCUUUAUUUACAAAUCAAGUGUUUGAUUUUAUUGAAAUUAUGUGAUAUUAAAUUAUGUAACUAAAUAAUUGAAAUAAAAUAAAAUAAUCUUACAAUAUAAAAAUAAAUACAUAAAAAGGAAUAUAAAAAAACUAUAAAAUUGACAAGCAAAAAAGAGAAAAUAAAAAGGAAAAGAAACCAAGAAACUAACGUAUAUAACAAGUAAAAAAGAAAAAAGAAAAGAAAAAAAAAUAAAAAAAAAUUAAGGAGCGUGUAUCACACGCCCCCUUCCAGCACGUGAGUUGGAAGGGGGCAGCUCAAGGAAUUCAUCCCUCCCCCCUCUCCCCACCCCUAUCCACUCCAGACCCACACCCCCUUAACCCACCUCCAUUGGAGUUGGUUUUACCACCCCACCCCAACCCAUACCCAUCUCCAUUGGAGAUGGUCUAAGUGGUGGUGGUGGUGGUGGAGAACGACAAAAUACGGAUGGCAAUAAUGGAGGGCAGGGUCGAAUUUGAGCAUUAAUAGUUGCAACCGAUAUAGACAGAAGCACUAUUAAAACCCAUAAUCUGAGCGCCAUAUUGAUUGCCGCAAGAAUUUUGCGAAAAUGGAUUAAUAUUUUCUUGAUAUAUAUAGGCAUCAACCAUUUUUUGUCCAUUCUUGAAGUAUAAUAACUAAUUAGUUUUUUCAUAAUUUUUCUACACUAGAUGGGCUAUAGUCAUUAAUCUAAAUUAUGCAAGUUGUUUAAUAGUUGACUUAUUUCUUGAAGUGAUGCUAUUUACACUACCAAAAAAAACUCUCUAUUCACAACCAUCUUCCUCUUUCUGCAAAUUAGUGUACACCAAAUUCAAGAUUUUUAGUUCAACAAUGAGAAAAAUCAAAGAAAAUGCUAUGUAAAACAAUUUAUUUAAUAAAUCGCAUCAUUGACAGCUUUAAAUAUCCGAUAAUAUCUACGAUCAGAUAUAAAUACAGCCGGAAAAAUAAAAUAAAAAAAGAACCUGGGUAAUUAAAGAAUAACCAAUUCAACACGCUGGGGUAUUUCUGCUCCAAGCUGUUCCCGGGAGCGACUCCUUACAUUUUCAAUAGGAAUUGAACUAACAGGCGGGAUUUUUUCGGUGAAAAAAAAGGCCAGGGAUCAAUAAUUAAUUUCUCGAUAUUGACAAAGUUCUCCAGAAAGUACCUCGCGAGUAGGACAUGAAUUUCACGAGCACGAUAGCCACAAAACUUGACAACUUUAAGUUGCUCUUGGUGAAACCUCGUAUUCAUACUACUCUUCAACGUUGAAAUGGAAGGCGAGUGUAACUGAAAAACAAAAAACGAAGAUAUUUAACCAAAAUAUCGGCAUGAACUCAAAAUCCUCAAGAUUGAAAUUCUUUGCUCCAAUUCGAUCAAUUCAAAUUCGAAACUGGGAAUAUAGGACUCGGGUUAUUUGUUUUGAUUCAGUUACAUAUAUUUUUUUUAUUGUUAUUGACAUACAAAAUAAACGCACACAAUAUAUUUAUUACCUUUAAAACAAAUUCAUGUAUGCAAGGUGCUGCCCUUAUAAAGUAAGGUAGUAGAUCGACACUUUGUUGAGUCAAAUCCCGAUAUCCUACGACCAACUUCUUCAAUCUAGGCAUUUCAGGGAACUCGUAAAACUCGAUACCUUCCUGUGAUUUUAAAUAAAUUCACCAAAAAAUAAUAGUAAUUAUACAACGAAUAAAAUAAAACAAUAGCAAAUAAACAACCCACAAAAAAUAAAAAUAAAAAAAUUCAAUUUUCGUCUUAACUAACUAACCUCUGGAUUUUUCAGCACCGACAAGUUAAGAACCUCCAAUUGCAAAUUGCAGCAAGAAAUCGCGUUACAUAAAUUUUCACCGGAAAUUUCACCAAAGCCCCAAGGAAGAGACAGCUCAACAAGCAUCGGAACAUUUUCGAUUAAGAGUUCUUCAAGACUUUGAACAGUAAGCGAAACAAGAUUUGGUGCUGAAACCCUAACGAGUUUCAAAUUCCGGCAGUAACAUAUCUCUAAGCGUUUCAAAACGAGCGACGAGCCACAAACUUCGACAAUCGACAAUUCUUUCGAUUCGUGGACAAUCAAUUCUUCGAGCAAAGGGCAGUUACGUAAAAAGAACUCAAUCGCCCCACCAUCCACAUCGAUAUAUUCCAAAGUCAACGCUUUGAGGGGCUUAAAGUCAACACUAAUGCUCCGAGCGAGAAACUCGUGCGGGAAAGCACAAGUUAGGCCAGGAUAGCUUAAACUCUCGUCGAACUUUGGCGAAAAAUUCAAUUCCAAGAUUGGAACUUUUUUGGCGGAAGCAUAUUCGAGCCACUGAGUGACUUCAUCCACAAGUAACGUAUACUCAUUGUAUCGCCUUUUAUCGGAACAACUUAUAUCAUAACGGAUUAUAAAUUCGUCCAAAGUGACGGCUUCAUGGGAUUGGAGGACGAAGUUCACCCGAUUUACAAACUUGCCCCUCUCCACUUGGGACAACUUUUUGCGGUUUGCAGUUCGUCAACUGCGCGGCCAAUGUACGCAUCGAACUUGAGAGAAGAGGUGUGUUUCCACAAGUUUAUCCAACGGGACGAAAGAACACUAGUGCGUUCAGCUUCAAUUGGCGAUAGGAAAGAUAGGAUAGCCACGAGAAUGUCAUCCGGUAACCGAUUUAUCCGAUCAUUAUCGAACUAUAGCACAAAAAAAAAAGAUUAAAAAAAAUUCCAUCAGAUAAAAAAAAAAACAUUGCGAUUGUAUUAUUGGACGGACGAACAAAUAAUUUUCCCAAGAGAUAAGAUAGGAUGAGAUAAAAUAAUAUUUCGGGCCGACCCGGAAAAUUAUAGGAUUUACCAAACAUCAAACAAAGUCCAAUUAUUGAAUUAAUCAUGGUACUAUCCCCAACCAAACGAGACCUAAGAGGAUAAUUUUUUUUCAUUCUCCCCACUACGAAAACACUCUGGCUUUUGCACAUUGCUGUUUUCAUAGAAAGGAAACUACCAGACAUAAUCCCCUCAUAACUUAAUAGGGCAAAUUACGGUCACCCCUCUGAGGUAUGGCCAAAUUACAAAAAACCCCAUCUUGUUUAGGUAAUUACAGCCACCCCUCCUUUUAAAUAGUUUUACAUAAAAUUGAUGUAAUUCGGUUAUUUACCGAAGCAAAUCGUAUAUUCAGUUCGGUAAACAUUAUGAAAUGUUGGCGUACCGAAAUUUCGAUUCAAUUUUACCGAUUUAACAUCCCUAAAUUUACCUGUAGAGGGGUUUUUUCGUAAGAUAAUACGUAGUUGAGGAAGGUGGCUAUAAUUACCCAAACAAGAGGGGUUUUUUUAUAAUUUGACCAUAACUCAGGGGUGGCCGUAAUUUGCCCUAACUUAAAUACCAUUGUGAUAUUUUCAUCAUAUUCUGUAACAAUUAAUUUGAUGAAUAAAGACGAAAAGAAAAUGAUUUUGAUUCAGCAAAAAACUUAAUUCCCUUUUUCCCUUAUUCAUCUCAAUCAACAGGACUUCCAAUUCAUAGCAAUAUACAAAAUUGGUGAUCAUAAUCCCCACAUAAUUUAAUCAAUUAAUUUAUUAAUCUUCCUUUUCUUCAAAUUGAAGAAAGAAAAACAAAAAUUAGGGUUUGGUUGCUAAAUUUAGUAACAAAAAUCGGAUAACAAGGCAACAGUUUUAAUGGAAGCUGUCCUUCAUCUUGGAUUGAAACUCAGAAUCAAUUUCCAAACGACAAAAAACCCUUGAAAUUGCAACAAUAAUAAAUUCUCCAAACCAAAAUAUAAUUAGUAAUUUUUUUAAUUUAUUUUUUUUCUCUGAAGCGAUUUUGUCGCAGUGAAAUUGUAACAUGAACCGGUAAGAAGAAAUAAGUUCGGGCCGCUGCUCUUGGAGCUAGGGGUGAACAUAUACCCGCUUGACCCGCCCAUUUGUACAACAGUUUUUCUUCAAACCCGACCCGCACCCAUGCCCACAAUUUAAGUAUAAAUCUGAUAAUUCAACUUUUUCUUUCCCAUCUUCUUCACUCUAUUCCCAAAACCCAAUUUUACUAUUCUGAUUCUUCUAGUUUUAUACAAUCCACAAUCGUUGCUAGAUUCACCACCAUCGGCUAAAAAGAUUUUCGGUGUUAUAAACUCAAACACUUUAGAUUGUGGAAUCAUUUCGUCUUAUUUCCACCGUAUUAUUAACACCAGUCUUUUUUUUUCUACUUAUUCACGGGUUGGUUCAGUUGGACUCUCUUUUAUAUAUAUGUAUUGCGAAUUAGCUUAUUUCUACUCAACUGAUGUUGGAUUGGAUGUACAUUAUUUAGAAUUAAAAAAAAUUGUAAUCCAUUUGCUCUUUUCACCAGCCCCCCGCAACCCGACGAACCCGAACUGUGCGGUUUUCAAGAAUAACUAGGCAGGUGCGGGUUGUGGUUUUUGUAACCCGCCUGUUUUCGGUCGGGUUAUUUUUUUUCUUGUUUGAGCUUCUAGAGAAAAAUGCCGUCUCUUCAAUCAACAUUACCCCCUGAGCUCGCCAACAAUGCUAUCAGGGUUUGAUUUUUAUUUUUUUCCUUCUUGUUUUAUAUCAGGGUUAUUAUUUUUUCCGUUUACUUUCUGAUUUUUAAUCGAUUUACAGAUCCUUUCUUUUAUAUCCUGGUUAUAUGCUACUAGGGUUUAUGAGCUUUAUGCUGGAACCGACUUGGUGUUUUGAUUAUUCUCUACUUUCAUUUGUAAUUUUCUUGACAAAAUUAAUUUAAAGAACGAAUUCUUAUAAACAAUUAAUUUUGUAUCUCUCUUCUACCCCUUCUCAGUCCACUCUUCCUCAUUCAUCAUACCUUUUCAAUAUGAGCGCAUUUCUCUAUGUAGUCAUAGGCUUAAUUCAGCACAGGAUUCUCGAAUUUUAACAUUUUUUUUUCUUAUUUUUAACAUUUCCCCCUUUCCCUCAUUGCAGCUUUAUCGUGAAUGCUUGAGACGAGCUAAAUAUAUUGGCCAAAAGGUGCAGUGCUCUCAGCUUUAUUAUGUCUUGGUGAUAUACAUGGAAUUUAUAUAUGUAUGAUUUAUGAUUGAACUGCUAUAUGGAAUUCGUGAUAUUUAUGAUUGGGAUAACACACUAGAAAAAUUGUUCUUCUAAAUCUUGUCCUAACAAAAUGGCUUGUCGACAGUAGUUGCUGAAACUAGAAUUUGAUGCUCAACUGCAUAUUUUAUAUGCACGUCAAUCUAUGGAUCUAUUAAUGAUGUGUAUUGGUUUGUAAUUAGAAUGUGACUAGAUUUAUGAAUUGAAAUUUGUAUCAUCUGAUUCUUAUGCUUUGUGGAAGAUUCUUGAGACGAGAGCUUGAAUUGGUUUUGGUGCAAUGCAUAGCUGUUUGGCUGUUUCUGAUAUUCAUAGGCUAUAGUUAUUAGUUAAUCAGGAACAAUAAUUGGCUUGUCCGCUAGGGGGAGUACAUUAUUAGAUGCAUCCCCACAUACAAGUUGUCGUUUUUGUAGCUAUGUUAUUCUACUACUAUUUGUUCAUGCUUCAUAUGAUGGAUGUGGUGACAAAAUUUAUUCGUAAGAUAGUUGAAUGAAGUGGCAGGAUAAAUCAUCUCUAAUUUUUCAUUGGUAAAUAUUGAAUGAACAAAAUUAAAAUGUCAUAUUGCUUCUGAAAUUUGUUAUAUUCCUUUUCUUGUUUACAUAGUAAAGCGAUUUAGUUCUUCGAGAGUGCUUCAACUUAUAUAGAAUAUAGAGUAAUGUAGCUCCUUUGAUCUACUACUUGAACACAUAAAUACAAUACUGAACUUCUUACCGGUAUGGUUAGAGAGCAGUUUAAAAAGCACAUGCACGAGACAGAUCCAGAGAAAAUUCAGAAUCUCAAGGAUGAGUAAUUUCCACUUUGCUUAUAUAUAAUUUGAAUAAUUUGCUUAUUGGUGAAGAAUUACUGCCUUAACCAUAAAAACUGGGGAAAAAGAUGUCUAGAAAAUGUUGUUUUUACUUUACUUUUUGAGUUUGCUCAUUGUUAUGUGACAAUGCUGCGAGGGGAUUGAUAAACCACAUGCUAUACGAGUCAGAGAACUUGUCUGGGAGAAAAUUCAGCAAAAGCUCGUCAACCUAAUUCGAAGCUCAACUUUGAACGUUUACCUGAUAAUUAAUUAGUGCCCAACCCAAGUUUUGGUAUUACAGAAGCUUUUGAUGAGGCAUAUUUCUGUGUCGUUCAACACGAGGCGUGCUCUGGAAACUGGUUUUAUGCAUAAAUUGCGAGAAG
This 78884-nucleotide long non-coding RNA is filed under the name Erythranthe guttata (spotted monkey flower). Its description in RNAcentral is "long non-coding RNA (EGUT_LNC003484)". Lineage: Eukaryota; Viridiplantae; Streptophyta; Magnoliopsida; Lamiales; Phrymaceae. The record is from RNAcentral.